CAAAAAGAAGGUUGUGUAGUAGACAUCAAGCUCUUUUCUGGCGCCGUUGCGGGGGAGGUGAGUGCUUGAAGGUAUAUCUUUAGAUCUUGCAAUCGAGUCUUUCAGUUUCUUGUUUUAUCACUAGUUAAUUUAUAAAAUAAAAUUACAAAAACAUGGAAUUAAGUUUGCCUCAUACGCUUCAUCUUUUUAAUAUCUUUUGUGAGUAUGAUGGAAAGGAAAAUUGUGCCAAAGUGUUAGAAGAAGAAUGCAUUAGAAUGUUUGGCACUAAAUAUUUGAAUGAUGAGCAUGAUUGCAAUGUUGUUAGUAUGAAUUCCUUGAAUAUCCAUGAUGCUAAUGAUAUGCAAAGACACAAGCUUGGGGAAGCUAUGUUUGAUGAAGAUGAUAUUUUUAGUCCCCCAAGUUUUGAUGAGCAAAUUUACUAUGAUGAAAACAUGCCUCCUAUCUAUGAUGAUUAUUGUGAUGACACGUAUGCUUUAAAGAAUAAUGAUAACCAUGAAACUUGUCAUCUUGAUCUUAAUUUUCAAUCACAUGAUAGUUGUUUUGUUGAGUUUGCUCCCACUAUUAUUCAUGAGAAGAAAUUUGCUUAUGUGGAGAGUAAUAAAAAUUCUAUGCUUGUAGAUCAUGAAAAUAAUGCUUUAGAUGUUGGUUAUAUUGUUGAAUUCAUUCAUGAUUCUACUGAAAAUUAUUAUGAGGGAGGAACAUAUGCUUGUAGGAAUUGCAAUAAUAUCAAGUUUCCUCUCUAUGUGCUUAAAGUUUUGAAGUUAUGCUUGUUUUGCCUUCCUAUGCUAGUUGAUUAUUGUUCCUAUAAGUCCUUUGCUCACAAAAUCCCUAUGCAUAGGAAGUGGGUUAGACUUAAAUGUGCUAGUCAUAUUCUUCAUUAUGCUCUCUUUAUGUUUCAAUUCUUACCUUUUAUGUGAGCAUCAUUGAAAUCAUCAUGCCUAGCUAGGGGCGUUAAACGAUAGCGCUUGUUGGGAGGCAACCCAAUUUUAUUUUUGUUCCUUGAUUUUUGCUCCUGUUUAGUAAUAAAUAAUUCAUAUAGCCUCUGUUUAUAUGUGGUUUUAUGUCUUUAAUUAGUGUUUGUGCCAAGUAGAACCUUUGGGAAGACUUGGGGAAAGUCUUUGCGAUCAUGCUGUAAAAAACAUAAACUUUAGCGCUCACGAGAAUUGCUGCCAUUGUUUAUUGGAGAGUGAUAUUUAGUUAAUUAUUUUUGUAGAUGAUUAAUAGAGCAAUUCCUCGGGUCCAAAAAUUUAUUUGAUAAUUUUAUGAGUUCCAAAAGUUUGCGUUAGUUACAGAUUACUACAGACUGUUCUGUUUUUGACAGAUUCUGUUUUUCAUGUGUUGUUUACUUAUUUUGAUAAAUCUAUGGCUAGUAAAAGAGUUUAUAAACCAUAGAGAACUUGGAAUACAGUAGGUUUAACACCAAUAUAAAUAAAGAAUGAGUUCAUUACAGUACCUUGAAGUGGUGUUUUGUUUUCUUUCGCUAACGGAGCUUACGAGUUUUCUGUUAAGUUUUGUGUUGUGAAGUUUUCAAGUUUUGGGUAAAGAUUCGAUGGACUAUGGAAUAAGGAUUGGCAAGAGCCUAAGCUUGGGGAUGCCCAAGGCAACCCAAGGUAAUAUUCAAGGACAACCAAAAGCCUAAGCUUGGGGAUGCCCCGGAAGGCAUCCCCUCUUUCGUCUUCGUUCAUCGGUAACUUUACUUGGAGCUAUAUUUUUAUUCACCACGUGAUAUGUGUUUUGCUUGGAGCGUCAUUUUAUUUUCUUUUGUUUUGCUUGCUGUUUGAAUAAAAUACCAAGAUCUGAAAUUAUUAAAUGUUAGAGAGUCUUCAUAUAGUUGCAUAAUCAUUCGACUACUCAUUGAUCUUCACUUAUAUCUUUCGGAGUAGUUUGUCAUUUGCUCUCAUGCUUCACUUAUAUAAUUUUUUGAGAGUCCUAAACAGCAUGGUAAUUUGCUUUGGUUAUGAAUUUAGUCCUAAUAUGAUGGGCAUCCAAGAGGGAUAUAAUAAAAACUUCCAUAUAAAGUGCAUUGAAUACUAUGAGAAGUUUGAUACUUGAUGAUUGUUUUGAGAUAUGAAGAUGGUGAUAUUAGAGACAUGCUAGUUGAGUACUUGUGAAUUUGAGAAAUACUUGUGUUGAAGUUUGUGAUUCCCGUAGCAUGCACGUAUGGUGAACCGUUAUGUGAUGAAGUCAGAGCAUGAUUUAUUUAUUGAUUGUCUUCCUUAUGAGUGGCGGUCGGGGACGAGCGAUGGUGUUUUCCUACCAAUCUAUCCCCCUAGGAGCAUGUGCAUAGUAAUUUGUUUCAAUAACUAAUAGAUUUUUGCAAUAAGUAUGUGAGUUCUUUAUGACUAAUGUUGAGUCCAUGGAUUAUACUCACUCUCACCCUUCCACCAUUGCUAGCCUCUCUAGUACCGCGCAACUCUCGCCGGUACCAUAAACCCACCAUGUACCUUCCUCAAAAGAGCCACCAUACCUAACUAUUACACUACAAGAAAUAUGUCAACUUGUGACCACCACUAUUGGUCACUGAAUGGUCACAAAUUUCCAUUUGUGACCUUUUUGUGACCAAAAACAUAAGAUCAAAAGUUGGCCGUCAUAAACUGACUAUAGCGACCUUUGUUCUGGAAUGGUCGUAGACGUUUAUGACCAAAAUAUGUCUACUGUGGCGUUUUGGUCACUAGCAAUCUCCCCAGGCCACGUAGGCAUCCAGCAUGGCAAGAUGAUGUGGCACAAGAUUCAGCCCGGUCCAAUUCGGUUUUCUACAUGGGCCUAGCCCAACAAUUCGGCCUUUUCAAUAUAUACUUUUCUGUUAAUUUUCGCUAGCUACAUGGGCCUAGCCCAUUUUAUUUUCUAGGACGUGGCCUUCUAUAAUUCAUUUCUUUUUUUGGGCCUCAGCCCUUUUAUAGCCCAAUUUAUUUUGGGCCUCCACAACAUACAUUUAGAAGCUUGACAUCACAAGGGCAGCUAUUCCAGCUUGACAUAUCAGCAUGUACGCAUGUAUCCAAACCAUUUUAUUUCUUUCAACAGCCACAACCACAAAGUAGAUAGUAGAUACAUUCAACAGACUAAAUUAACAUAGGAAUGAAGCAACAAAGGGCAGCCCAAGUAGAGGAACUACAUGGUACUACAACUACAUGGGACUACAGCUACCAUUUCUAUUUCUACCAGCAGUAGUAGGGACUACCAAGGAGCUAAACGAACAGCGACCGAGCUAAACUAACAGCGAUCAUCCAUCAUCAAUCAGUGACAGUAGCAAUGAGUGGCAGCGGCGACGUUCGAGAGAGCCCCUCCCCCUGCUGCUGCUUGGUUGCGUGCUACUGCUUGGUGUGCUGCAUCACUAGUCACCCUGCACAGCAAGAAUUUUAGCUUUACAUAAGGUUUGCAAGAACAGGACCCUGAUACAUGAGAUUGACAUUCACAAGCUAUUUGCAUUUAUAUUUAGAACUGGGUCACACCAUUUGCAUUACUAGUUAUGUAUUGACAUACUAAUCUAAAAGAACAUAUAUAGAAACAUAUGAAUUUUAUUUCUGAAUACCAUUACAGAAGUACUAAAAAACAAGAGCUCAUUACACAAGAAUCCAGGAAGACCCAUCAAUUAUGCGCCGGAGCGGGAGAUGUGCAGGCAGAUCAAAUAGUAGAUUCGAGCAAGAAGGAUGUACUACCUGAAAUGGGAAACUAGGAGGCCAAUCCGACGAGUCCCACCCAAGCUGUGGAAGGAGCAGCGGCAGCAGCUGCAGAAGGACUCGACGGCCCAGACACCGUCAUGGACCUGGUAGGUGACGACGACAUGGUAGUGGUGGAAGCCGCCGCCGAGGCCGACUGCGCCUACGGCAUCCUCGUCGUCCUACAAGGCGAUGAGGACGGUCGGGUCGGCGUUGAGCCGGUGGUCGUGGUUCCUGUAAAAACUACAGGAAACUUAAUUACUUCUCAAUACUGUGGGGUCACACUUUCAGAAAACCUGUCUAUCUAUAUACAAACUUGAAAGAUAAGCCAUGCAAAGGUUCAGUGGAUCCAAAUAAACAUGCACAUCAUAAAACUAGAGGAACAGACAGUCAACACGUAUAUAUCUAGUCAAUAAAAUAUGCAUGCAAAGUUGUACUGAUGUAGACAUGCUUUCACAUCAAAAUUCAGAAACAUCAGAGUCUCGCUGCAUCUCAAAAUCAAGCCGAUCUAACAUGUAGGCACUGAUUAACAGAUCCAAUAAUACUAAUGCAAUUGUAAUCAUACGACAGAACAGAGUAUAGGAGGCUCAAUCGUUCAACAUUUCCAGUGCAAGCAUUGUACAAAGCAAAACAAAUUAAGACCCAAUAAGACACUAUUACAGUACAGUACGACGGCGUCUAUUGCCUCGAUCGUUCAACAUUUCCAGUGCAAGCAUUGUACAAAGCAAAACACCCAAUAAGACACAAAUACAGUACAGUACGACGGCGUCUAUUGCCCAUCUAGAAAACAAGGUGACAUACUGCAGGUUCAAAAAUUUCCUACCAAUAAUGAUAUGUUUGUACAAUGGUUGGUGUAUGCGGAGCUCAUCAUUGUAUGAUGUAUAACAGAUGUUAUAUAACAGAGAAGAAUGGCAAAAAAACAUUUGGUGGCAUUGCGAUGUUGAAAGAAGUAUGCAAAAAAGCUACUCAGUUGCUAGCAAGAUGAAUCAACAAGAACUGUGAAGGUUGGAGUCUAGAAAGGUAUUCCCUGUUGGAAAUCGACUACGACAGCAGUUAAGCUAUGCAUCAUUCUUGGCGAUGGAUCUCAUCCCUGUCAUUUUUAGCAAUCACUGCACGUAAAAGAAGUAAAGCAUGUCAGUUGUAUUGAUUUUCAAACACACAAAAAUGAAGGAGCAAAAGGCAGCCAAAAUAUAACUGCAGGGCCCUCUUAACAAAUAAUGUUUGUGCUCAGUCUGUUAGUACAAACACUACUAUAUCUGCCAAAUGCAUAGGCCAAUUAAUAUGCCUAUUUAUAUAAAUGGAUGGGUUAAGUGUACAAGAGUGGUAGGCCUAAAAUUCCCAAAAUUAGACAGGGAAACGAAAUGCUUGUUGCAUGCCGCACGCUGUCUAGAACAGUAGUGGAAAGAGAUGAGUCUGUAGGCUGCCCGCCUGCCUGCCUGAUAUGAUGGUGAGAGAGAUGGACGGUAGCAGCGAAAGAUAAGCCAUAUAGCUUUGUUUAAUAUUACUAAGAUAUAUAGCCAUUAGUUCGUUUUAACAUGGAACCCAAGAGUAUGUGACUCUAGCACCCUGAGAAAGAUGUUAAUAUGCCAUCAUACUAGCUGAUAGACAAACAUUCCAGGAAGAAUAGAUGCUUGUUUAACGGGUACAAUCGGUACUGCUAUCUCUAACAGACAAAUUUAAAGAUAUUAAAAGAAGCACCUGAUAGAGAAUUUUGCCAACAAUUGCAGUGCUUCAGUUAUGUUUCAGGAAAUAACAAACUACGACUUAGAGCAACAGUUUGAAUAACAGUGGGUUCUGACAUCAAAUUGGAAUUUUUAUGAGCCUCACGAACUCAAAUUACAUUCCAUAUAUACUAAUAUGGUUCACUAUCAUCACGAGAGCCCCUCAAUCAUGCAUCAAUCAUAAUAUCAUCAUCAGCAUAGCUCUUGGAAAUAAGACAAAGAAUAGAGGAAUUACCGAAAUCGGUGAAUCUCUUCCUAGGGACAUGCAUGAACUCUGCAUACUCCCUGUCUUCAUCAAUCCUGUGGAGUUGCAGAACCAGCGUGCGACGGGUGACAAUGCCUGCAGAAUCAAACCAAACAAAACAAAUCAAUGCGUCACAAAAACAAAACAGGACGCCAAAAUGGACAAGCUCUUGCUGCUUGAAUAACCAUACCUGAACCCUGGGUAGGAAAUCCUUUCCAACAACGCUCUCCAGCACUGAAGAUUUGCCCGAACUCUAUAGUGUGCCAAAGGAGUUCAAAUGUCAAAACACAGAACCACAUCUGGUAAUUGUAUACCCACUUGUACUGAGAUGCGCUUGAACCACUCUUAACAGCGCGAGUUCAUGCAGAACUGCUUGCUUGAAACUAGGAGGAUUCUCAUUACGCGAAACAACAUGCCCCCUAGUUGAUCCCAAGUGGUAGUAGUACCUAGCUUCCUAGCACUACACAAUUACUGGUCAUGUAGGCAACUACGUGCAACCAAACUAUAUAGCAAAAGAUUCAAACAAGCAACAGCGGCCCAAAUCUAGCUGACAACCCCUACAACAACCGCAGAUCCAAGCAUAGCUAGACCACAUCACCGCGGCCAAACCGUGGACAAACCGGGCAUCCAAGUUGGGUGGCAAGGUUGCGAGAUCCAGCAGACACAGCUGGGGCGCCAGAUCCGGCGGAGGGGGGAGAAAACGGACGGGGCGCGCACCUGGCCUCCGACGACGGCGAUGGACGGCAGCGAGUGCCAGAGGGUGGGGAGGGCGCUCUCCUCGUCGUGGUCGCCAAGCGCCGUGCAAGCGCGCUGCAGCUUAUUGACGAGCGAGAUCAGGUUCUCCAUGGUCGUCGGCGCGGGAUCUGGCCGGACCCGAUCGGGCGGGCGGGGUCGAGGCGGUGGAGUGGGGAGGGAGGGAGACGAGACGACGCCAACUGCUGAGCCGAGCCGCGUCGGUCGGGCUCGAGCUGUGGAUGGUCGGAGCAGCGAGGGCGACGCGGAUCGACGGGGGAAGGCGCGCGGCGGCCGACGGGGAAGAAGCUCGUAUCCGGCGAUUUGGGGCACCCAGCUUGAACUGGUGGCCAUAGUCGAUGCAGAGGGAAGCUUCGGAGCUCGUGGACACCUUCGCAUGUCGCCAUGUGGUGGGUGAGGAUGUGCGGAUCGAAGGGUGCGACGGGGGGAUCGAUCUGAGUUAGGGUUUGGGCUGCGGGUGGGGGGUAUCUCUUUUUGUUUUCUUUUUUUCUUUUUUCUGUAGAAAGAUGGAUGGAUGGAUGGACGCCAUGUCAUCAAUCUGUGGGAAGUGUUCUGAUUGGUUCGAAAAGUCAAUGGUUUAAAAUAGUUUUCAAGUACUAAAUAUAGAGGGAUUUUGUGAAGUAGCUAUAAAAAUAUUUUUCAAAAGAGCACCAGACAAAUUUUCACUAGAGUUAGACCACAUUUUAUGGAUAAGGACCAAUUUGUAUGCAUUUCCGAUCUUCCUAGCUAUUUUUAAUCAUUUUCCGAGUGGCAAAAAUGGGUUUUUUGUGAAGAACCUACCAAAUAUUUGUUGCAAAAUUGGACUCCAUCAAUUUUCUAAAAUACUAGUCCAUAUUUAAUAUAAAAUUGACCAAAUGGUUGGGUGUCAAAAGUUUUGAUCCACCUCUCGUGAAGAAGACAAAUUUCCACCGGUUCAGUUGGAAGCGGGUCAAAUUUGAACUACAGCUGCCUCAUAGUUUGCUCUUUAUUUUUCUCAAAACAUAUUUUUAGGUACAAAAGUAUCUAUUUAAUCAGAGAAACACCAAAGGUUUUCCAAAACUCAACCACUAGCUAGGAACGGUCAAGCCCGCUGUUUUGACCGCAUUUUGAAACGGGCAUAAAAAAUUCAAAAAAAAUCAAAAAAAAUGGAAAACCCUCGCAUUGUGUCAUUAUAUGUGGUCAAGUUUCCAGAAAAACUAACAAACUUGUAAUACGGCAAUUAUUUUAAAAAAGUAUUCUCAGAAAUGAGCUAUCAUGCGUGAAGAUUCAUGGCUUUCAAGCGAAAUGAUCAAUCUUAUGGUCACAUUCAUGGCAUAGUUUGUUCAAAUGAUCUCAUAUUGUGCACAAGGGUGUAUCUUGGAAUUCCAAACAAUGUUGCCUAAGGGAGUGUUCAUUUUCUUUGCACGGAAAAUUCAUUUUCCAUUUUUCGAGUGCCCAAAAUGAGUUUUUUUGUGAAGGACCUACCAAAUAAUUGUUGCAAAAUUGGACCAGAUCAAUUUUAUAAAAUACUAGGCCAUAUUAAAUUCACAAUUGACCAAAUGGUUGGGUGCCAAAAAUUUUGAUCCACCUCUGGUGAAAAAGACAAAUUCCCGCCGAUUCAGCUGGAAGCGGGUCAAAUUUGAACUGCAGCUGCCUCAUAGUUUGCUAUUUCUUUUUUCCAAAAAUCAUUUCUAGGUACAUAAGUAUCUAUUUAAUCAGAGAAACAUCAAAAGUUUUUCAAGAUUCAACCACUAGCUAGGAACGGUCAAGCCCGCCGUUUUGACCGCAUUUUGAAACGGGCAUAAAAAAUUCAAAAAAAAAUCAAAAAAUUGGAAAACCUUCGCAUUGUGUCAUUAUAUGUCACCAAGUUUCCAGGAAAAAUAAUAAACUUGUAAUACGGUAAUUAUUUUAAAAAAGUGUUCUUAGAAAUGAGCUAUCAUGUGUGAAGAUUCAUGGAUUUCAAGCCAAACGCUCAAUCUUAUGGCCACAUUCAUGGCAUAGUUUGUUCAAAUGAUCUCAUAUUGUGCACAAGGGUGCAUAUUGGAAUUCCAAACAAUGUUGCCUAAGGAAGUUUUCAUUUUCUUUGGACGAAAAAACCAUUUUCCAUUUUCUGAGUGCCUGAAAUGAGUUUUUUUUGUGAAGGACCUACCAUAUAUUUGUUGCAAAAUUGGACCUAAUCAAUUUUAUAAAAUAUUAGGACAUAUUUAAUGCACAAUUGACAAAAUGAUUGGGUGCCAAAAGUUUUGAUCCACCUCUGGUGAAAAGGACAAAUUCCCGUCGAUUCAGCUGGAAGCGGGUCAAAUUUGAACUGCAGCUACCUCAUAGUUUGCUAUUUAUUUUUUCCAAAAAUCAUUUCUAGGUACAUAAGUAUCUAUUUAAUCAGAGAAACAUCAAAAGUUUUCUAAGAUUCAACCACUAGCUAGGAACGGUCAAGCCCGCCAUUUUGACCGCAUUUUGAAACGGGCAUAAAAAAUUCAAAAAAAAAUCAACAAAUUGGAAAACCUUCGCAUUGUGUCAUUAUAUGUGACCAAGUUUCCAGGAAAAAUAAUAAACUUGUAAUACGGUAAUUAUUUUAAAAAAGUGUUCUCAUAAAUGAGCUAUCAAGUGUGAAGAUUCAUGGCUUUCAAGCCAAAUGAUCAAUCUUAUGGCCACAUUCAUGGCAUAGUUUGUUCAAAUGAUCUCAUAUUAUGCACAAGGGUGCAUAUUGGAAUGGCAAACAAUGUUGCCUAAGGAAGUUUUCAUUUUCUUUGGACGAAAAAACCAUUUUCCAUUUUUCUGAGUGCCCAAAAUGAGUUUUUUUAAGGACCUCCCAAAUAAUUGUUGCAAAAUUGGACCAAAUCAAUUUUCUAAACUACUAGGACAUAUUUAAUGCACAAUUGAAAAAAUGGUUGGGUGUAAAAAGUUUUGAUCCACUUCUCGUGAAAAAGACAAAUUUCCGCCGAUUCAGCUCGAAGCGGGUCAAAUUUGAACUGCAACUGCCUCAUAGUUUGCUAUUUAUUUUUUCCAAAAAUCAUUUCUAGUUACAUAAGUACCUAUUUAAUCAUAAAUACAUGGUUUGGUGGCGAUACGUCGAGGUUUGGGCGGUGGCCGAGGCCCCCAACUCUAGAGCGCGUAAACUCGCAUGCCCACCGCGUGGUCACCGCCUGGCCGUGGUGUUGCCAUGUGUUCUGGGCGGCCUAGGCAUGUCUAGUGGGUUGGGCACUCCCCAGGUAGGUGCUAGGAAGAAAAUCACAACAUAAGAUUGUCACGAGGAGACCGAUCGAUGCUCAAACAUGAAUAAGCAGCCAAGUGUUUGAUUAGCGGUACGGGAAAUGCACAUGGCCAAUGGGCGUGAGUUUUGGCCGAGGAUGAUCAUCUACUAAGGAGAAUGUAUUCACAAAUUUUUAGCUCAAAAGGAGGAUCCUAGGUGGUACUUUCUUUGCAAAGUACCACACUAGACAAAAAUAUGAAUGUUGAAGCUGGGCUCAAAAUAAUGAAUGGAUUGAGCUGAAAUUUGGUGGAGGAUGGUUAGUUGGGCAUAUGAAAGUAUUGUAGAAAAUUGAUAUCAUUUUGACAUGCCAAAGUAGUACUUCCUUCACAAUGCUCUUCUAUGGACAAAAACUUGGGAAAACUAGUGAGAGAGAUUGGAUGAAUGAAAUGAGCUAAAAAUUGGUGUAGGUAAGUUACAUAGGUAUGGUCAUGCACUGGUAAAUUUUCAGAUCAUUUGGGUAAGCCUAGCUAGUACUUACUUCACAAAGCUUCUCUCGAGGUAGAAACUUUGGAAAUUUCCUGAGAAAGAUUUACUAGGAAAAUUGAGCUGAAUAUUAUCAUGUGGCAAUGAUUUGGGUAUGGAAGAGUGCCCGAAAAGUUUGAGGGUAAUAGGAGUGGUCUAUAUAACACUUGCUUUGCAAUGUGCCAAUUUGGCCAUAAAAUAUAAAUUGAACCUGGGCUCACAUAGAUGAUUUGACUGAGCUGAAAUUUGGAGGAGGGUGAUAAUUUGGGCAUAUGAAGGAACUAUAUAAAUUUCAUGUCAUUUAGAGAUAUAAAAAAGGUACUUCCUUCACAAUGCUUCUAGGUGGACAAAAACUUUGGAAAUUUGCCGAGGAAGAUUUGCUAGGAAAAUGGAGCUGAAUUUUGUCAUGCGGUAAUGAUUUGGAUAGGAAAGAUUGCCCAAAAAUUCCGAGGGCAAUCAAGAAUACAUAAAUAGCACUUCCUUCAUAAAGUGUUGUUGUGAACAGAAUAGGAAAAUGAAUAUUGUUGAAUUAGUUUUGAACUAGGCAAGGAAGGACUUUUACAUAUUUGAUGAAGAUAUGCCCCAAAGAAUUUAUGAGAUUUUUUUGGGAAUUUUGGGAAUGAUAGAAAUAUAGGUUGCUUCACAACCUAGGGCAAAAACUGUCACAUGGACAUGACACAUAGGCAAAACUGAUGAGAUGGCGCCUAGUCAUCACAACCCACCACAAUCUACAAGGCUAUGACCAUCUAUAUUGGUCAUUAACAACUAGAAAUAAGGCAGCGGACUAGCACUGUUUGCUUUGUGACCAUUUCAUGUAAGGAAAUUACGACUUUUCUGACCAAAAUGGUCGCAAUGGUUUAGGGUUUGGAGCCCCCUGAACAGCUUUUGACCAAUUGGUCUAAAAUGGUCAUAAAUUUAUGACCAAUUCUUCGAGGGUCACUCACAGAAGGUCAUAAGUUGACAUAUUUCUUGUAGUGUUAUGGCAUUUCCAUAGCCAUUCCGAGAUAUAUUGCCAUGCAACUUUCCACCGUUCCGCUUAUUAUGACACGCUCCAUCAUUGCCAUAUUUCUAUGCAUGAUCAUGUAGUUGACCUUGUAUUUGUGGCAAAGCCACCGUUCAUAAUUCUUCCAUACAUGUCACUCAUGAGUCAUUGCACAUCCCGGUACACCUCCGGAGGCAUUCAUAUAGUCAUAUUUUGUUCUAAGUAUCAAGUUGUAAUCCUUGAGUUGUAAGUAAAUAAAAGUGUGAUGAUCAUCAUUAUUAGAGCAUUGUCUUAGUGAGCACAGGAUGAUGGAGACUAUGACUCCCCCACAAGUCGGGAUGAGACUCCGGACGCAAAAAAAAAGAGGCCAUAAAAAAAGAGAAAAGGCCCAAAUAAAAUAAAAUAAAAUAAAAUAAAAAUGAGAGAAAAAGAGAGAAGGCACAGUGCUACUAUCCUUUCCCCACACUUCUGCUUCAAAGUAGCACCAUGAUCUUCGUGAUAAAGAGUCUCCUAUGUUGUUACUUUCAUAUACUAGUGGGAAUUUUUCAUUAUAGAACUUGGCUUGUAUAUUCCAAUGAUGGGCUUCCUCAAAAUGCCCUAGGUCUUCGUGAGCAAGCGAGUUGGAUGCACACCCACUAGUUUCUUAUGUUGAGCUUUCAUACAUUUAUAGCUCUAGUGCAUCCGUUGCAUGGCAAUCCCUACUCACUCACAUUGAUAUCUAUUGAUGGGCAUCUCCAUAGCCCAUUGAUACGCCUAGUUGAUGUGAGACUAUCUUCUCCUUUUUGUCUUCUCCACAACCACCAUUCUAUUCCACCUAUAGUGUUAUGUCCAUGGCUCACGCUCAUGUAUUGCGUGAAGAUUGAAAAAGUUUGAGAACAUCAAAAGUAUGAAACAAUUGCUUGGCUUCUCGUCGAGGUUGUGCAUGAUUUAAAUAUUUUGUGUGGUGAAGAUGGAGCAUAGCCAGACUAUAUGACUUUGUAGGGAUAGCUUUCUUUGGCCAUGUUAUUUUGAGAAGACAUGAUUGCUUUGUUAGUAUGCUUGAAGUAUUAUUAUUUUCAUGUCAAUAUUAAACUUUUGUCCUGAAUCUUAUGGAUCUGAAUAUUCUUGUCACAAUAAAGAGAAUUACAUGGAUAAAUAUGUUAGGUAGCAUUCCACAUCAAAAAUUCUGUUUUUAUCAUUUACCUACUCGAGGACGAGCAGGAAUUAAGCUUGGGGAUGCUGAUACGUCUCCAACGUAUCUAUAAUUUUUGAUUGUUCCAUGCUAUUAUAUUAUCUGUUUUUGACGUUUAUGGGCUUUAUUAUGCACUUUUAUAUUAUUUUUGGGACUAACCUAUUAACCCAGAGCCCAGUGCCAGUUUCUGUUUUUUCCUUGUUUUAGAGUAUCGCAGAAAAGGAAAAUCAAACGGAGUCCAAUUGACCUAAAACUUCACGGAACUUAUUAUUGGACCAGAAGAAGCUCAUGGAGUAUCGGAGUUGGACCAGGAGAGUCCCGGGCUACCCACGAGGGUGGGGGCGCGCCCACCCCCCUGGGAGCGCCCCCUGCCUCGUGGACAUCCCGGAGGUCCACCGACGUACUUCUUCCUCCCAUAUAUACCGAUAUACCCAAAAAAAUCGAAGAGCACAAUAGAUCGGGAGUUCCACCGCCAGAAGCCUCCGUAGCCACCGAAAACAAAUCUAGACCCGUUCCGGCACCCUGCCGGAGGGGGCAAUCCCUCUCCGGUGGCCAUCUUCAUCAUCCCGGUGCUCUCCAUGACGAGGAGGGAGUAGUUCUCCCUCAGGGCUGAGGAUAUGUACCAGUAGCUAUGUGUUUGAUCUCUCUCUCUCUCUCGUGUUCUUGAUUUGGCACGAUCUUGAUGUAUCGCGAGCUUUGCUAUUAUAGUUGGAUCUUAUGUUUCUUCUCCCCCUCUACUCUCUUGUAAUGGAUUGUGUUUCCCCUUUGAAGUUAUCUUAUCGGACUGAGUCUUUAAAGAUUUGAGAACACUUGAUGUAUGUCUUGCCGUGCGUAUCUGUGGUGACAAUGGGAUAUCACGUGAUUCACUUGAUGUAUGUUUUGCUGAUCAACUUGCGGGUUCCGCCCAUGAACCUAUGCAUACGGGUUGGCACACGUUUUCGUCGUGAUUCUCUGGUAGAAACUUUGGGGCACUCUUUGAGGUUCUAUGUGUUGGUUGAAUAGAUGAAUCUGAGAUUGUGUGAUGCAUACUGUAUAAUCAUACCCACGGAUACUUGAGGUGACAUUGGAGUAUCUAGGUGAUAUUAGGGUUUUGGUUGAUUUGUGUCUUAAGGUGUUAUUCUAGUACGAACUCUAGGGCAGUUUGUGAAACUUAUAGGAAUAGUCCAACGGAUUGAUUGGAAAGAAUAACUUUGAGGUGGUUUCGUACCCUACCAUAAUCUCUUCGGUUGUUCUCCGCUUUAGUGACUUUGGAGUGACUCUUUGUUGCAUGUUGAGGGAUAGUUAUAUGAUCAAAUUAUGUUAUUAUUGUUGAGAGAACUUGCACUAGUGAAAGUAUGAACCCUAGGCCUUGUUUCCUAUCAUUGCAAUACCAUUUAUGCACACUUUUACCAUUAGUUACCUUGCUGUUUUUAUAUUUUCAGAUUACAAAAACUAUUAUCUUCUAUCCAUAUUGCACUUGUAUCACCAUCUCUUCGCCGAACUAGUGCACCUAUACAAUUUACCAUUGUAUUGGGUGUGUUGGGGACACAAGAUACUCUUUGUUAUUUGGUUGCAUGGUUGCUUGAGAGAGACAAUCUUCAUCCUACGCCUCCUACGGAUUGAUAAACCUUAGGUCAUCCACUUGAGGGAAAUUUGCUACUGUCCUACAAACCUCUACAUUUGGAGGCCCAACAACGUCUACAAGAAGAAGGUUGCGUAGUAGACAUCAUGUAUCAUGUAUCGUAUGUAUGUAGUAUAUACUCAUGAUCACUUCCCAAAGUGAUCACGACCCGAUAGAAUAGCAUAGCAGACAAACAAGAAUGUAGGGCCACUUAUGUAAUACUAGCAUCCUAUACUAAGCAUUAGGAUAGCAGGUAAGGUAUCAACAGUAGUAGCAAAGACAGGUUAUGCAGAAAUAUAUGGUCAACCCGAUGAAACAGUAACACUACUCUAAUGUAAGCAGCAGAGAGAAGGAUUAGGCGGUAUCGGGAUGAUCAAGGAGGUUUUGCUUUCCUGGAAGCUCUGUCUAGAAGGAGGGAUCGUCGACUCCGUAGUCGUACUGGGUAGUAGCGGCAUCAGUCUCGAUGUCUAAUGGAGAGAAGAGGGGGAAGAAACAACAAGUACAAUGCAAACAGAUGCAUCACAAUUCAUGCAUGGCAACAAGCAUUGGUAGAUGUGGUCUAACAUAGUACUACACGAUACUCGUGAAGGGGGAAAACAUCCGGGAAUGCUUUCCCAAAGUUUGGCGUUUUCCGAUCAGAUGAAUCGGAGGGGACGUUUCCAUGUUCUCUAUGCUAGGGGCACAUGAUAGAUGAAUGGAGUGCGUAUUCAGAUUCGUCACAUUUUUGUGAGCAACUUUCAUGUACAAAAUAUUUUUAUCCGAGUUACAGAUUAUUUUAUAUUAAUUUCCAAAGUUUAAAUGAUUUUCUGGAAUUAUGGGGCUUAUUUUGAUACGGAAAUUAUUAAAUGCAUAAAUACUAGAUACACCCAGAAAUGUACCCAGCCAAUGCCUUUGUGAGGUUGACACAAGGGCCCACUGGCUAACUCAGCAGCUGACUGGGCAGGCCUUAUCCACAGGAAUAGUAGGGGGGCACCAUCUGUCAUUGGCUGCAGUGCUAACCAGGGAUAUUUAUAAAGUGAUUUAAUUAAAAAAAGGUUGGACCCGCCUGUCAGCAGGUCAUUAGGUUCAUUUAAUUAGUGUUUAAUUAAUCCAAAGUUAAUUUAGACACGGGUCCCAUUUGUCAUUUACACAUGGGUGGUGGAUUAGAGCCCAGCUUAGCAGCUAAUAUCAAAGGGUCCACCUGCCGGUGGCCCACGGGCCGGUUCAAACGGCCGGCCACGCCGGCGGGGCAAAACAGGCAGCGCCACGCGGGACCUCGCCACAAUCACCCCUCCGGCCACAAACGGGCACGUGGUUGGGCGUGUCUGGCAGCAUGGGAGGUGCUGCGUCGGACGGUGGUCGUGAUAGUCGCCGGGGAGGCCGGGAACGCUGUCGGCGCUGAUGGCAGGCGGCAGGCGGAGCUCGGCCUUGAGGAAAACGGUGUCAGGGUCAGCCAAAACGAGCAAGGGGAGGGGGAAAGCGGACGGCGGCUCACCGUAGAGCUUACUACAUGACAUAUAAGCAAAAAUUUCUUGAAAUGCGCUAUAUUACUAUCUAAGUUACUUCCACUAUGAUAGCCCGAAUGUGAUAAUGUCUCGUGCAUGAAAAACAGCCAGCUUCUCGCAUUCGGCUCUGUACAACCAAUCAUGUGCUCGGUUACGGUGGGAUCCGAGAGUGCCCAGGUGCACCUGAUAUCGUGCAAUCAAUAAGGGAGUGGCUUCAUGAGUUAGCGCUGCCGUGUGGUACCAAAUUUAGUACCACACAGCUCGUUUCUAAUUCUGUUCCGCAGCUUACAUAAGCUGCUGGGCUAUUUUUUUUUUUGCAAUGAACUUGGGGAGCUUUAUUGCAUAGCUAACAUAUGAUUACAAUCUGCCCGCAGGCCACUUAGAAGAAAGGAUGGACAGCUCUCAAGCCAACAGCCUGAAACCAACAAGGAACAGGCCCGUUUAGCACAAGAGUCGGCCAAAGUAUUAGCCUCCCUUGGAACAUAUCUAACAGAGAAAGAGAUAAAAAUGAAGACUUCUCCCCAAUGUCAUCUAAAAUAGGCACAACAAUUGACCUCGAACUGUCACGCGAUAACCAGAGGUUGACAACCUCUAAACAGUCUACUUCCAUCAGCACAUGUGAGAAACCACGCAGCUGAGCGAUGAUGACUCCCUCCCGUAGAGCUAAGGCCUACGCAACGAGAGGAUCUGUCACCCCCGGGAAGGGUUUGCUCCAUGCUCCGAUGAACGAAAGGUGAGACCGAGCUAUCCCACCCCCUCCCGCACACCGAGCAUCGCUGUUAAUAGCACCAUCCGUGUUGAUCUUGAUCCAUCCCACAUCCGGCGUGCGCCACAGCGCUCCUGACACGCCCCUCGUAGGUUUUGGAACAUCAAUCAUUAAAAUAUCAUCGCGAACUAUCUUUACCGAUCUUGUCAUGCGUCCAUCGAUUCCGAUCAGACCAUAUCGCAUGCAUAACCGUGAUAAUCCUGCAUCUGUCUUGAUCUUCUAUGAUGUCGUCCGUCAAUACAUCCCUCGCCCAAGUGGCAGGGUGUAACCUUGGUAACUUCAAACCCAAGAAAUCUCGGGCUAUUGCCCAAAAUAAUUUGGCAUGUGAACAGUUUAUCAGUGCAUGUCGUAGAUCCUCCACUGAGGCUUUACACAGAUCACACACUGCUGCUGUCCGGAUAUGCCUAUGCUGAAGAGUAGCAUAGUCUGGUAGAAUUCCAUGCAAGACCCGCCACCAGAAAACACGGACUCUGGGAAUAACCUUUAGUUUCCACAAGGCGAUCCACAUGGGUCUAUCUGAAGUUGAACGCUCUUCCUCUAGAGCUGAACGCUCUUUCCGAGUCACUAGAGCACAAUAAGCCGUUUUAACAGAAUAGACACCGGACCUCUCCAAGUCCCAUGCAAGAUAAUCCUCACCACCAUUCGCUCUCAACGGUAUAUUCAAAAUUGUGUCCGCAUGUGGUGCAAGAAAAUUUCUUCGAACCAACUCCACAUCCCACGUUCCGUUCUCAUGAUCAAAUAAUUCAGAGACACGAUUUAUAGGAUCGAUCCCGAUGCGACCCAUUGGCUUGAGAGUGGCCGUGUUCGGUAUCCAGCGAUCUGUCCAGAUGGAGAUGGACUCCCCAUCCCCAACCCUCUUGAUCAAGCCUUGUUCCAACACAGCUCGACCUGAAAUAAUAGCUUUCCACGUAGCAGAUGCCGAGCGAGGCGCUGUAGCGUCCAUAAAACUGCAGUUAUGGAAAUAGUUGCCUUUCAGAACUCGCGAACACAAGGAGUCAGGGUUUGUCAUUAGCCGCCACCCGUGCUUACCAAGUAGGGCUAGAUUAAAAAGCUCAAAGUCACGAAAACCCAUGCCUCCUUCUGCUUUCGGCACAGAAAGAUUCUUCCAAGACAGCCAAUGAAGAGAUCUCCUGUCAAUGUCACUGCUCCACCAAUACUUAGCCAUGGAAGAAGUUAAUUGUGAGCAGACCCCCUUAGUCAGUUGAAAGCAAGUCAUGCUGAACGUAGGGAUAGCUUGGACCACUGAUUUGAGCAAAACUUCCCUCCCAACACAUGCCAAAUUCUUUUCAGACCAGCCUUGCAUCUUACUCCGGCUCCUCUCACCAAUAUGAGAAAAACUUUCACUUGUAAUCCUGCCGACCGCCGUUGGUAAACCCAAGUAGCGUUCGGUAAAAGCUUCAACAAGAAUUCCUAGUGUCUAUUUAAUCUCAGCCCUUAGAGGUGGCAAUGCAUUAGGACUGAAAUAAACUGCACUCUUCUCCCAGUUUACUGCCUGACCAGAGCAGGCCGCAUAAAUCUUGAGGAUAUCAUUCAAUCUAUUUGCACUUUCCACCUUCGCAUUCAUAAAGAUUAAACUAUCGUCCGCAAAAAGCAAAUGAUUAACCCAAGGCGAGUGGACACUCACCCUAAUACCUCGAUCAAUAUAUGCACCGCCAUAAUUAUUCAUUAAGGAUGUGAGGCCCUCCGCACAUAUAAGAAAGAGAAAAGGAGAUGCUAGAUCCCCUUGUCGCAACCCUCGGGAGGGUGUGAAAAACGGCAAAAGUGAUCCGUUUACCUUGACCGUGAACCGGACGGAGGUGACACACUUCAUAAUGAGCCGCACGAACUUGUCACAGAAUCCCAGUUUGACUAACAUCGCCUCCAAAUAAUGCCACUCGACACGGUCAUAAGCUUUCAACAUAUCGAGUUUGAUAGCACAUGAGGCUUGUUUGCAUCGCUUCUUUUUCUUCAUGGCAUGCACACUUUCAUAAGCUACCAAGACGUUGUCAGUAAUUAACCAUCCUGGCACAAAAGCACUUUGUUCCUCCCCAAUGAUCUCAUCCAUAAGCCCGCGUAACCUGUUAGUGAUUGCCUUGGAUGCAAUUUUGUACAGGACUGGGCAGAGAGAAAUUGGUCGGUGUCGGUGUCAAAACCGGCGGAUCUCGGGUACGGGGUCCCGAACUGUGCGUCUAGGCUGGAUGGUAACAGGAGGCAAGGGACACGAAGUUUUACCCAGGUUCGGGCCCUCUCGAUGGAGGUAAACCCUACGUCCUGCUUGAUUAAUAUUGAUGAUAUGGGUAGUACAAGAGUAGAUCUACCACGAGAUCGAGGAGGCUAAACCCUAGAAGGUAGCCUACAGUAUGAUUGUUGAUGUGUAUGUUGUCCUACGGACUAAAACCCUCCGGUUUAUAUGACACCGGAUAGGGUUAGGGUUACAUAGAGUCGGUUACAAUGGUAGGAGAUCUAAAUAUCUGCAUCGCCAAGCUUGCCUUCCACGCCAAGGAAAGUCCCUUCCGAACACGGGACGGAGUCUUCAAUCUUGUAUCUUCAUAGUCCAGGAGUCCAGCUGAAGGUAUAGUUCGGCCAUCCGGACACCCCCUAAUCCAGGACUCCAUCAGUAGCCCCUGAACCAGGCUUCAAUGACGACGAGUCCGGCGUGCAGAUUGUCUUCGGCAUUGCAAGGCAGGUUCCUCCUCCAAGUACUUCAUAGAAGAUUUUGAACACAAAGAUAGUGUCCGGCUCUGCAAAAUAAGUUUCCACAUAUUGCCAUAGAGAGAAUAAUAUUUACACAAAUCUAAUCUGCUGACGUAUUCUGUAGUGUGACAUCACACCACGACCAAGAUUUUAUUCGAACCAUUUUACUGUCCCAUCUCAGCGCGUUAUGCGAGGAGGUUUCCUUGGCACGUCUUGUUAAAGCAGAGAUCGUGUCCCUUUAUUCCGGGAUUCUCAUCAAUACGGGCGUGGGUAACCCAACCGUGCCUUUGAUUACGGCGCUUGGGAGAUAAGCGAGUUUUACCAGGCUGGUGGGGACAUGUAGUUGCGUCCACCCAUAUAAGGGGAUAAGGAUCCACCUUUUCAUCUACGCCUUCUUCCUCCUUUGCUUAUCCAUUCUUGCGCACUCGAGCUCCAGCGCCCAAGUCCGUACUCCUCGCCUCGACCUUCUCCAGCCAUGUCCGGAGCGGGAGGCAAGUGGUUGGUCUCCUCCGUCACGGAGGGACACAUCAAAAAGCUGAGGAAGGCCGGAUAUCUGGCUAGCAACAUCGCGCACCGGCUUCCCGAAACGGGGCAGCUCAUCCCCACUCCCAGGCCCCAUGAGAGGGUGGUAUUCCUCCCUCAUUUCCUCCGCGGACUGGGCUUCCCUCUGCACCCAUUUGUCCGGGGGCUCAUGUUCUACUAAGGCCUGGAUUUCCACGAUCUGGCCCCGAACUUUGUCCUCAACAUCUCGGCGUUUAUCGUCAUGUGCGAGGCUUUCCUCCGCAUCCGUCCCCAUUUCGGCCUAUGGCUCAAGACUUUCAACGUCAAGCCAAAGGUGGUGCGCGGCAGCCAGGCGGAGUGCGGCGGUGCCAUGGUUGGCAAGAUGGCCAACGUCCUCUGGCUCGAGGGCUCCUUUGUAGAGAGCCUGAAGGGGUGGCAAUCGGGGUGGUUUUACAUCACCGAGCCGUGCGACCCUAAGUGGGUCGCAGCCCCCGAGUUCCGGUCCGGACCCCCACGCGGCUCACGUCCUGGAAAGAGACGGGCCUGUCGUGGGGCAGCCAAAAGGAGGUGACCAGACUGCAAACAUGCAUCCAAUCCCUGGUGAACAAGCAGCUCAGGCUUGUCAACGUAGUCCAGGUUAUGUUCAUCCGCUUGAUCCUCCCGUGUCAACAACGGGCUUUCAAGCUGUGGGAGUUCGAUCCGGCGCGGCACCAAACUCUGAGCAUGCUCUUCGACACGACAUACGAAGAUGCCUGGAAGGUGCUUCUCAAAGGCGCCGAGGCUCCCGCAUCCGCUACUGAGGAUCGCGGAUUCAGCGCGCAGCGUCAUGCUAGCGCGGUAAGCUUUUUUGUAUUUUUUUUACAGGGCACUAGUUUUUCAUAGUUUAACUCUGUGCGGGAUCUAAGCUCCCUUACCUUUGACAGGAUUGGCAGGCGAAGUCCGGACGGAUCGACUGUCCGACACCUUUGCCCGAAGACCCAGCCGAUGCCCACCUGGCGAAGCUGCUGGUUCCGGCACCCUAUGUGGUGCCGGAGAAGAAGGCCGCGAAAAAGGCCGCGGGGACUCGAAAGAGUGCCCGGUGCCAGGAGGCGUCGGAUCCAUCAUCCGACGGUUCCGAGGCGCAUUCCUCCCGUGAAGAGGAGGAGGACGAAGAAGAAACCCCUCCUCCUCCAGCGGGGGAAGGGAAGAAAAGGAAGGCCGCCCCAACUGGGGAGGCCGAGGGGUCCAAGAACGCGAGAACCCCUCCUCCGGACUACUCCACCAAUGCCGACGACGGCGAAGAGGAGUGUCCGCCCAGGGCCAAGCCCCUGGCAAAAUCGUAAGUAUCCGGAUACCUGAGUGAUUUCAUAGUAUUUGAUUAUUGCACAGCUUUCCCUUAUGUCGGAUAUAUUUAUGCAGCCCACCCAAAGACCGGCUCGACGCGUCGUCGAGCGGCUCACUGGACUCGUCGGACGUGAACUCGCUUCCGACGGCUUCCUCCCCCCGCCCUACGGACGACACCGAAGUGUUGUCCCAGCAAGUUCCAAUCCGGGAGGAGGUGGUCCUAGAGGCGCCGCAAGGCAACCUCCUGGACUCCAGGAGUAAAGGGGACGAAACCCCCCAGGGCUCAAAGUCCGGCCCUAGGCCGGACACCGCUCCGGAACCUUCAAAGGUUCCAGAGUCCGGUGGGGGACCUCCUUCCAAGAGGAGCAAGCCCGCCGCGCCGGCGACUUCCGUCCAUCCGGAGGCGCCGGACAAUCUGUUGGAGGCGCUCCAAGGCGCCUCCCUCGACGAGGGGCACCGCACUAUUAUGAGUGCGGUGGUCCAGAAGGUUCAGUCCGCCAAGAGCGGACUAACUGAAGCUUGUACAAGCCUUUUAACAGGCUUUGAGGUAAGUAAAGAAUGUGUAAAUAACAUUACCGCAUAGACAGUAGCCCCUGAUGCUCUGUUUGGCGUUCGGGAAGAAAAGCCGAAUAGAGGAUCAAAUAAAAUUCGCAGGAGUCUAACAAAAAGAAGUCAAUAUGCGUGUGCAGGCUUCCCUGCUGGCGUCCGCCGCACUGACUACGGAAGUGGACGUGCUAAAGCAGGACCUCGAGCGGUCCGAGCAAGAGCUCGGACGUUCCAAGAAGCAGCUCGAGGACAGUGAAGGUAAGAAAAUACCUUGUAUAAAUGUGUAUAAAAAGGUGCAAUUGCGAAAAAUGACAGGAGUAUCGUGGCUAUUGUAGGGGCCACGUCUGAGGUGGCGACCCUGAAGUAAGCGCUGCUCGAGGCCGAGAAGAGGUCGGCCAUGGAGCGCACUGAGCAAGAAAAGUAUGAAGCCGAGGUUGGCAAGGUGUGGCGAGAGCUCCAGGCUCUCAUGGAAAAACAUGAGAGUUUGGAGCGUGACUCAAGGACGCGAGCGUCCGAGCUCGCGGCGGCUACUAAAAGUGCCAAGUCUGCCAAGGCCGAAUCCCAGAAGACCCUCCAGGAGUUGGAUGAGGUGAAGAAGAUAGCGGCGGGUAAGGCAUUCUUUAUGCAAAGUAAACACAUAAGCGUGAGUUACUUGUCACUCACCCGAAUCCAGAGUUCUCCAGGCGCGUUCGCAGAUCUUCCCCGGAAUAUAUCUGAUGCCGCCGCAUUCUAUCGAGCCGAGGAGGGCAUCUCGACGAAGAAGGUGUUCUGGUCUCAGUACGUUGAGGCCGGACACCCCGUGCCCCUGAGCGACCAGUUGAAGCAACUGGUCAAGCUCCACAAGGCGGCCGAACAGGCCAUGAAGGGCCUCAUAGUUCGGCUGUGGCCUGGAGAGGCUCAGCCUGGGAGCUAUUUCGGGCUGGUGUGGCGGCUGGUGGAGGCCUGUCCAUGGCUCGAAGUUAUCAAGCGCUCUGUGUGCAUUGAAGGUGCCCGUAAGGCCCUUGCCCGUGCGAAGGUGCACUGGGGCAAGCUGGAUGCUGAGAAGCUUGUGAAGGACGCGCCACCACCGGGGAAAGAGCAUCGCAAGCCCGAAAAUUAUUAUAAGGAUGUUCUGAAGGGUGCCCGCCUUGUGGCGGAUGAAUGUUCUAUGGAUGUAAUUUUUGAAUAAAACUCGCUCGUUUUGUCCUGUGCGCUGAAAACUUGUUCAUAUACGCUUUAAGCAAUGCUAUUUGAAUUUAAAAUAUUACCUUCUGUGCGGCUGUUUAUCAAUUCUGAGAGAUGGCAAGUCGUCGGCUUCUGCCCCCGGGCCGCUAGUGCUGGGGUGUUCGGGGAUAAACCUGAGGGCUCUUUUUCCCAUGUUUGGGUCCUUCGAGGGAGGCGCUCAGCCCAACGAACAAGGCAAUCGGACUAUAAUGCGUGAACACUCUCACUUAGCCAUAGAAUUCUAUAAUUUUAAAUUUCGGCGAAGCCCCUGGUAUUCGGAAGACCGAGUUCGGGGCGCUAUCCACGCCUUGGCCGGACAGAACCGGCUCCUCGCCCUAAGCGGCAUAAGUCUUUAAGGACUCGAAAAGACCUCUCGAACAGCGACCAGCUCUCGCCUCAUCAUGACGGUCAGUUUUAGCUUUCUCCACUGAGGUGCUCAACCCAGCUCAACCGGGGCACAAUCGCAGUGGUUCUCCUAGUGCUACCUUAGCCGAUAUAGCGGAACGUAAGGCACCAAAACAUAGGAGUCGGGCAAACCCAACUAUUGACCCAAGACAUGAUUCGGAGCCGAUGCAUAUAAUGCUAUAAGUUUGGGGUGCGGUACUUGUUAAAGUGUUCGGACUUCUCACACCAUGUUGAGGGGUACUGAAGCCCCUGGCGUAUUUUGGCCGUACCAAAGUGUACGGGUGCAACAUGUCAUUAAGGAACAUAUAUAAAUAUAAAGAAAAAGAGUAAUGCAAAAAUAGACAAAAGCUAUGCAUUGUUUAUUAAAAAGAGCUGCGAUCAAAGCAGAACGAUACAAAUAAUGCGAUAAGCAAAAGGUUGGAUUAUGUAACAUGUCCGCUCCAGGGGCAAGCUGCGGAAUAAUAUGCGAAACAGGUAUAUUGCUCGUGAUAGAGGCCACCUGGGAGUUCCAUAAUGCGGCGCGGCUCAUCUGCUUCCCUGGUUCUUGCAUCGUUUGUGCGGCAAUUGAACUGCCGAACAGGCCUUCCGAAGAGUGGAGUCCUGAAAGUAAGAGAAAAUUAAAAAAUCGGCAGCCCCUGGUACGGUUGGAGCCGUGUUUUGGGCGUGCCGUGAUGGUGCCCCUCCCCCUGUGCCCAUGGUAUCUCUAGGGCGUAGUUAUGUACGCGAAGUACUGACGUCGCCUUUUGGCGAGGGUUGGGGUUGGGGACGCAUUGCUACGCCUGCUCGAAUCGUGCCAAGCGGUCUUGUUGUAGGUUACUCUGGGCGCGCUUGACGGUGUCCGGUCGUUUAGUGGCCGGACUGGAGAAAUGUCUGGAGAGGCUGCUUUGUACUUCCGCUGCAAGAGCCGCCGUGUGCUCCUCCAUUCGGAGGGAGCGUUCGGUGUUUCCAUUGACCGUAAUUACUCCUCGAGGGCCUGGCAUCUUGAGCUUAAGGUAUGCGUAAUGCGGUACCGCAUUGAACUUAGCGAAUGCGGUUCGCUCGAGCAGUGCGUGAUAACCACUGCGAAACGGGACUAUGUCGAAGAUUAACUCCUCGCUUCGGAAAUUAUCCGGAGAUCCGAAGACCACUUCAAGUGCGACUGAGCCUAUACAGUUAGCCUCUACACCUGGUAUUACGCCUUUAAAGGUCGUUUUGGUGGGCUUAGUCCUCGAGGGAUCUAUGCCCAUUUUCCGCACUGUAUCCUGGUAAAGCAGGUUCAGGCUGCUGCCGCCGUCCAUAAGGACUCUAGUGAGAUGAAAUCCGUCAAUAAUUGGGUCUAGAACCAAUGCAGCGAAGCCGCCGUGACGGGUGCUAGUGGGGUGGUCCCUUCGAUCAAAGGUGAUCGGGCAGGAGGACCAUGGGUUGAACUUUGGGGCGACUGGCUCUAUCGCGUAUACGUCCCUUAACGCGCGUUUCCGCUCCCUCUUGGGGAUGUGGGUUGCGUAUAUCAUGUUCACCGUCCGCACUUGUGGGGGAAAACCCUUCUGUCCCUUGUUGUUCGGCGGCCGGGGCUCCUCGUCGUCAUCGCUAUGCAGCCCCUUGUCUUUGUUUUCGGUGUUUAGCUUGCCUGCCUCCUUGAACACCCAACAAUCCUUGUUGGUGUGAUUGGCCGGCUUUUCAGGGGUGCCAUGUAUCUGGCAUAAGCGGUCGAGUAUUCGGUCCAAACUAGACGGGUCCCUAGGAUUCCUUUUGAAUGGCUUUUUCCGCUAACCGGAUUUAGAGCCUCUGAAUCCGGCAUUAACUGCUGUAUCAUCUGCAUUGUCGCCGUUAAUGCGGCGCUUCUGUUUGUUGCGACGCGACCUGCCACUACUGUCCCUGGUGUCCGAAUUACCAGGGUUCUUGGUGAUAUUGUUUCUACGAGCAAGCCAGCUAUCUUCUCCCAUGCAAAAGCGGGUCAUGAGUGUCGUGAGUGCUGCCAUAGAUUUCGGCUUUUCCUGUCCAAGGUGCCGGGCCAGCCACUCGUCACGGAUAUUGUGUUUGAAGGCUGCUAGGGCCUCGAUGUCCGGACAGUCGACUAUUUGAUUUUUCUUUGUUAGGAACCGUGUCCAGAAUUUCCUGGCCGAUUCAUCUGGCUGCUGAAUUACGUGACUUAGGUCAUCGGCGUCUGGGGGUCACACAUAAGUGUCCUGGAAAUUGUCGAGGAAUGCGGCUUCCAGGUCCUCCCAACAACUGAUUGAUCCUGUUGGCAAGCUGUUAAGCCAAUGCCAAGCUAGUCCUUUAAGCUUGAGUGGGAGGUAUUUGAUGGCGUGGAAAUCAUCACCGUGGGCCAUGUGGAUAUGAAGGAGAUAAUCCUCAAUCCAUACCGCAGGAUCUGUUGUGCCAUCAUAUGAUUCAAUGUUUAUGGGUUUGAAACCCUCGGUGAUUUGAUGAUCCAUUAUUUCGUCUGUGAAGCAGGGUGGGUGUGCGGCGCCUCUGUACUGGGCUAUAUCAUGACGUAGCUCCAAUGAGCUUUGUCUACUGUGUUCGGCCCUGCCGAAUUUGUGGCCGGCGUGACGAAUGUUUUCUCGAGCCGUGGGGCGCCCACGCAAUCCGUAGAUCGAUCUUGUUUGUCUAGCCUUGUCCUCCAACAUGUCUCGUAGGUCCGGUGCAUAGUCCCGUGCCUUGGUACGGGGUGCGGCUUGAGUGGAGGGCCGAGAGGCCUCUCUGUCGCGGCCACGAGGUGGCCGGUCGGCCGCAUCAAGUGCUUCCUCCUCUAAUUGGGGUGGGAACCAGCGCUUUGGGUAGCUCUUGGAGGGGCGUUCGAGUUUAUGCUCUUCAGCCGCAAGGACUUCACUCCAUCUGUCGACUAGCAAAUCUUGAUCAGCUCUAAGUUGUUGCUGUUUUUUCUUGAGGCUUCUUGCCGUGGCCAUAAGCCUGCGUUGAAAACGCUCUUUCUCGACGGGAUCCUCUGGCACGACGAAUUCGUCGUCGUCGAGGCUUGCCUCGUCUUCGGAGGGAGGCAUAUAAUUAUCGUCCUCGACCUCUCUGUCUGCCGCUCUCUCAUGAGGGCUGGUUUCUCCAUCCUCCUGUGCUAAAUCUUGCUGGAGGGGGUUUUCUUCGGCGCUUUCCGGAGUAUUAUUAUCUCCCGUGCUGGAAUCACCGUGUUUGUUUAGGCGGGAUUUUGAGCAGCGUCGCUGACGUCGGCGCUUAGGCUGUUUUUUGGAGGGGUCAUCCUCCGCUGUUCCAUCGCCGUCUCCCUCCUUUGGGGUAUCCACCAUGUAUAUGUCAUACGACGAGGUGGCUUUCCAGGGCCUAGUAGGCACUGGUUCUUCAUCAUCUCCUUCAUCGGCGUCCAUACCCUUGAUGUCUUCGGAGUCGAAGUCGAGCAUGUCGGUUAAGUCGUCGACAGUGGCUACAAAGUGGGUGGUGGGUGGGCUUUGAAUUUCUUCAUCGUCCGAAUCCCAACCUUGCUAGCCGUAGUCCGGCCAGGGCUCUCCUGAUAAAGAAAGAGACUUCAAUGACUUCAGAAUAUCGCCAAAAGGCGAGUGCUGAAAGAUGUCCGCGGCAGUAAACUCCAUGAUCGGCGCCCAACCGGAUUUGAUUGGCCGGGGCGCAGAGGGUUCGGAGUCCGGAAAGGAGUCCGACUCCUUGGAGUCACGAGUCUCGCGGAGUGCGGGGCUGGUGUUCGGCUCAAUCGUUGUUGGGAUCGCAGCCCCCGAGGUGGCGUCCAACCGCCCAUCCUCGGUCAGCGCAGUUGGCUCCGAAUUAAGGAUCGGAGCCGAUGCGGGUGCGGCCUCCAGGGCACUGUUUGGCGGCAGAGCUAGAUCAUGCUCGUCGGGACAGUGUGGCGCGCUCGGUAGUGGCUGGAAUCCGUCGAGGAUCAAGUCCCCGCGGAUGUCAGCCGUGUAGUUUAAACUUCCGAAUCUGAGCUGACGGACAGGGACGUAGCUUCCGAUCUGCUCCAAGUGGCCAAGUGAAUUGGCCCGCAGUGCGAAACCGCCAAAGACGAAGAUCUGUCCGGGGAGGAAGGUCUUACCCUGGACUGCAUCGCUAUGAUGAUCGUAGGAACCAUCGAGCCUGACGGCGACGACACAGAGGAACUCUCAAUGAAAGCACCAAUGUCGGUGUCAAAUCGGCGGAUCUCGGGUAGGGGGGUCCCGAACUGUGCGUCUAGGCUGGAUGGUAACAGGAGGCAAGGGACACGAAGUUUUACCCAAGUUCGGGCCCUCUCGAUGGAGGUAAACCCUACGUCCUGCUUGAUUAAUAUUGAUGAUAUGGGUAGUACAAGAGUAGAUCUACCACGAGAUCGAGGAGGCUAAACCCUAGAAGCUAGCCUACGGUAUGAUUGUUGAUGUGUAUGUUGUCCUACGGACUAAAACCCUCCGGUUUAUAUAGACACCGGAUAGGGUUAGGGUUACAUAGAGUCGGUUACAAUGGUAGGAGAUCUAAAUAUCCGCAUCGCCAAGCUUGCCUUCCAGGCCAAGGAAAGUCCCUUCCGGACACGGGACGGAGUCUUCAAUCUUGUAUCUUCAUAGUCCAGGAGUCCGGCUGAAGGUAUAGUUCGGCCAUCUGGACACCCCCUAAUCCAGGACUCCCUCAGUCGGUACUGAGUUAUUUUCUGGGGUCCCGUACCUUGGGAAUAAGAGUGAUGGCCAUAUCAUUGAGUCCCAACGGCAGCUCCCCCCCCCCGUUCAGAAAAUCGAGCACGGCUGUCGUUACAUCACUACCUAGAACCUCCCAAUGUCGUUGGAAGAAACCAGCGGUAAAACCAUCCACUCCUGGUGCUUUUGACGGCGCCAUCUGGAAAAGAGCUUUGUGUACCUCCUCCGCCGUGAAUUCCUUCUCAAGUAAAUCAUUCAUAGCGUCAUUAACACGUGGCGGAACAAAUUGCAACAAAUCUGACAUGUCAUUGUAUCCCUGCGACUGAUAAAGGUUCUGAUAGAAAUCCAUCACCUCAGCCUCCACCUCAUUAGGAUCAUCACAGACCGAGCCAUCUGCUCUCUGUUGGGAGACAAUUCUAUUGCUUCGACUACGCUGCGCUGCCUGAGAUUGAUAAUAUUUUGUGUUCCGGUGUCCUUUGCGCAGCCAGUUAACUCUGGACCUUUGUUUCAUCCAAACCUCCUCUUGCCGUAAAACCUCUUGCAGUUGGGCGGCCACCCUUAGCUCUUCAGUGUUUGGCCCCCUCCCAAUGGAGGCUGCUCGUAGCCAUUCCAACUGCUUCUGGAGUUUCUUCACCUUUUUUUCAUUGUUUCCAAACUCACGGGCACCCCAGGACCCGAGUCCACUCUGGACAGCGGUAAGUGCAUGCACCACACCCUCCAAACCUUCACGGCCAGACUCUGAUUGCCAUAUUUCUCGCACAAGAGAAUUGUAAUCACUAUGAGUCUGCCAAACAUUUUCGUAACAAAACGGUCGCGGACCAUGCCGCCCCCCUCUCGCUUGUACUUUCCUCAACUCAGCAAGAACGUAACAAUGGUCACAUGCUGUUGAACUAAUGUGCUUGACACAUGAAAACGCAUACAAGGAUAAAAAACUUGCAUUAGCAAGAGCAUGAUCAAGUCUAGCUUUUACAUUUGCACUUCCAUGCUGCUUAUUAUCCCAUGUAAAGGGAACACCUCUCCAUCCAAGAUCUUGGAAAGAGCAAAAAUCAAUUACUUCACGAAAAGAACGCAUUUGCCACUCCGGCCUCACAUGCUCGCUGAAAUGCUCGGUUGCAUACAUAGUCUCGUUGAAGUCGCCCAUGCAUAGCCAUCCUUGAUGCGGAAUGCCAUGCAACGUACGCAUAAACUCCCAGCUAUGGUGUCUAUUUUCAGCUCGGGGUUCACCGUAAAAACCUGUGAAGUGCCAAGGUUCAGUAUGAUCAUAUCCCUUGACCAACACAUCUAUGUGAGCCUUACUGUAGUUUUUGAGUUCAACAUGCACACUAUCAUUCCAGUACAGCCCAAUGCCUCCACUUAGACCAUUGCUAUCCACAGCAAAACAACCAGAAAAACCAAGCAAGUUCUUAAGACUCUCAACACGUUUCCCUUGAAUUUUUGUUUCCAUUAUGAACAGAAGGGAGGGGGCUUCCUGCUUCACCACUUUGCGAAGCUCCCGAACUGUCUCCGGGUUCCCAAGCCCGCGACAGCUCCAACUCAAACAAUUCAUUGGGACGGGCAGGGCUGCAUUGCAGCCUCUGCCGAAUUCUCUGGUGUUGGUUUUUUCUUCUUCGGUAUCCGAUCGAAUUCCUCCUCAGUCCCAUCCUCUUCCCCACCCCUCUGUUCCUCAUGGCGCCCCGGCUCCGGGUUCUGUAACCCCUCACCCGAGGCAGUCAACAGAAGGGGAGGUGUGCUGUCGACACGGCGAUAAACCUGUUUUGGUGCCUCCUUUCUCUUGUUCACAUUGGUGUUCUUCUUCCUAAGAGAGUUCACCUCCUUACCACCUGCUGGAACGUUGCUGGAGUUCUUUGACUCCCUAUGACUGCCCGGUUCAGCAUGAUAUUCCUUUCCGGCCGAGUCACCGGAUGCAGUCUUCUUUCGCUCCUCAGCCCUCAAACUCGGACCAAACGGGAGCUCGCCAUUGGCAUCCCGUUGACCAGGAGUAGGACAGAACGGGUCAGCAUGACCCAAUCGGCCGCAAGAGAAGCAGAACUGAGGAACAUUCUCAUACUGGAUAUCAUAUGCAUCUUGCUGCUUCCUUUUCGCCGAAUCAAUCACAAUCCACCUUCUAAGAGGCUUGUUUACAUCAAUGGCAACCCUAGCGUGCAGAAAACCACCCAUGUGAUCGAACUGCGCCGAGGACGCCUGUGGAUCAAUCUGUUUAGCUAUCAUCCUUCCCCAUGAGUCAUCCCGGAGGUUGUAGGGCAAGUUCAAAACCCUUGUCCAUAGAUGGAGCCAGUCAAAACGAACCUCGUCCGGCCUCAUGCAAUCCUUAAACUCGGACAAAAUCACUGCAUUCUUACUUAUAUGCCAUGGGGAUCCUGCCCACACACGAUCACGAUCUCUCUGGGAUUCAAAAUCAGCCACAAACAUGUUCUCCCCCAUAGAUCUGAACUGAAGCCCCCAUGGAUUCCCCCACGCCAGACGGGGUGCAUUAGCAAUGGUGUUGAUAUGCAGCAGAUUUCAGUGAAGAACCUUCCCUGCUAAUAGCCACUUCUUCGGCGCAUCCUCCUCGCGAUCAUCGAUGACCAACGGAGUAGCUUCUUCCUCGGUAAUACCCAGCUUUCCUAGGGCCUCUUCCAGCCGAGCCCUAGCCGUGCGCGGCGAUUCUGACCCGCCCGCACCCUUGCCCCGAUCAGAUGAGGCCAUCUUCCAGGGAUCCCGCUGCGCACCGCCGAUCAGCCGUCGACGAGCGCCUCUUUUUUUCCCCGAACCCUAGUCGCCGCCGCUAGGGAAGUUUUUUAGGGUUUCGUGGAAAGUUACGAGCUAAGCUGCUAGGCUAGUUAGCGCCGGUUGAUCGAGUCUGCCGUAUAUAUACUAUAGACGUAUACUGUCAGUCUUUAUUAUUAUUAUUAUUAUUAUUAUUAUUAUUAUUAUUAUUAUUAUUAUUAUUAUUAUUAUUGUUAUUAUUAUUAUUACUCCCUCCGUCCAGGUAAUUGCACUAGGCAUGCAUGCAAGCGUGAGCUGGGAUUGGGGAGUGAUUGGUGCAUGCAGGUAUGGGAAAGAGAACAGCGUGAGAAGCCGAGCUGCUCGCCGUGUUUCGAGGGACGGCAUGCAGUUACUGCAAAAUAAAUCAAAUGUCUCUUGGUUUCGCUGUUUUGGCUUAGAGGCCCAAUAAAGAGGUAAUAUCAGUGCAAGUUAUAGAACUUGUGCUGGAUGUGCAGUUUGGUUCUAAAACUUGCAAACUACGGAAUUUUGGUCACUUAGCUUGUCUCAAUGUGCAAAUAUGGUGCUUUCUACCAUUUCAGGAUGUACGGCCUGCACACGUGGCGUGCCAGCACGGCGUAGGCCCGCCUGUCAAUGACCGAAAGCAUUUUUUUUUUCAGAUAACUCCCUUUCAUUUUAUUUAUUUACACACAAAAUUCCUCAAAUAAAAUUUAAAACUGCAACAAUAGGGAUUUGAUCCCACAAUCUGCAGCCCAGUUACUCACAUACAUUACCACCAGACAAAGCAGGCUAGACGCUUAGUAUUUACAAAAACAACUAUAUAUCCUAUAAAUACGGACUGUACAAAUUAUACUAAAUUUUAAAUCUAGACGUAAGACACGAGCACCAUGGUUCGAACUUGUUACCUUCUGAAUGAAGGUCGCGUGUGAGUGGGAUAACCUAUCACACUUCAUGUUGUAAAUGGACAAACAACAUUUAUGCUGUCAGACCUCGCAAAUUUUAUUUUUAUGUUGUCAGUUCUUAUGUCAUGUCUAUCCAAAACUAAAUUAUGUUUUUUUCUAAAUUUUCUGUGGAAUAGUGAAACUUUUCAUCGUGAUGUAGCUUAAGAUUACUUACUAUAUUUAGGUUGAGCUGGCAGUAUCCCUACUAUAUUUAGGUUGAGCUGGCAGUAUCCCUAGUAGAUAAUAAAAGGGUGGCUAAGACUACAAAUUUGCACACAGUACCUAACUUUUAAAUAUAGCUUUCCCACAAAAGAAAAUUUAUAUAUAGCUGGCUGGACUUGGGGCUCAUAAACUUGAAACUAUACAACACAAAACACUUUUAUCUAUAUUUAUCUCUAAGAAACAAAAAUCUAGUCUGUCUUCAGCUAAUUGUGAACAAUGUAAAAUGCAAAGGCAACAUAAAGAACAAACAAAAUACAUGAGAAUAUAAAUUGUUAAUUUUUUUCAAAAAAUAUAUGUUGUUUUCUUACAUAAGUAAAAGAAAAAAAUUAGACAACAAAGAUUUGGGUCCCUUUAUAGUAACAAGUGUCAUCAUGGUCGGAUGGUUAGCCCAUGCACAUGCAGCCAGCCACCAGCAGGACACAAAGGUUUGAACCAUGGGGCUCACAAUCUUCCAUUCAGAUUUAGAUAUUAUUUUGUAUGGUCUUCAAAGGACAUAUCAUGUAUAGUUGUGAAAGUUUAACAAGAGUCAUGAUUAGUCUGGUGGCUAUCCAUGCUAGUCGUUUAGUAGGCGAUCAUUCGUUUGAUCCACACUGCGGUGUCUUUUUUUCAUUUUAUUUGACUGAUUUUGUACGUGAGUAAAUAAAAUGCAAGGGAGUUAUCUGAAAAAAAAAAUGCUUCCAGCCGCCACUGACAGGUGGGCCUACGCCAUGCUGGUAGGCCACAUGUGCAGGCCAUACGUCCAGAUACGAGAGGAAGCACCGUAUUUGAAUGUGCGAACAAGUUAUAUGAUCGCAAUUCCGUAUUUUGCAAGUUUUAGAACCAAACUACACAUCAAACGCAAGUUGUAUGACUCCCGGUGAUAUUGACUCCCCAAUAAACCCAGACGGAGGUAGUACUAGCAAAAAAAGGCCGUGCAUUACAACGGAAAAUAAAUACCAUACGUCCCUAACAGAAUAAUCAUGAAUGAAGACCUCAGUGGGUUCACGUGCAUCCCAUCUAUGUUGCCGCUUACCCUCCUUCCGACCCUUAUGGAUGGCUGCCUUAGUGCUCACAAACACAACUCGCAUGAAUGCAGCCAAUUCUAAUGUGUCUCUCUUUCUAUCCGCAUAAGAUAAGAAAUCUACUUUUUCAUCUGGAGGUUUUACCGAGUCGUGCAUGUGUGGUUAUAGAUGGUUUCUCUCUUCCCCAAACUAAAUUUGCUGAGGUGUUGAUUUCUAACCUGAUCUACACUGGUACGAAAGAAAUAUGGAUCGUUUUCUAUUGAUUAAUAUUGUCCCUUAAAUAGAAUUUAAAAAAUGUUUAACAUGUAAAAGAACACCAUAUUCAGAUUCUACAUAUUUUUGUAAUCAAUUUCCAUAUAUAUAACGUCAAAAUUGGAGUUAGGGUUUAGAAGAUAUGAAUAUUCAAAAAACCAUUUGAAUCAUAUUUUUUAAAUAUUUAACAGGUAAAAUAACAUCAUAUUAAGAUUCUAGACAUUUUUCAAAGAAAUUCUCAUAUAUGACAUGUCAAAAUUGGAGUUAGGGUUUAAAAGAUAUCAAUAUUUAAAAAAAAAUUGAACCUGUCAAAAAAAGAUGGAUGGCAGGUUGAUUAACUAAAAGAUCAAGGGGUUCAUUAACUAAAAGAGCAGCGAGUUUUGUGAAAAACGAAAACGAAUCGUUUUUUUUCACUUAAAAUAGGACUACGGGUUGAAUUCUCAUAAACACGGUAACUUUUCUGCAAAAAUGACAAUGACGUACGAACAGAAGAGAUAGCCGCUUUUUUACUUAGGUAAAGAUAAAGAUUAUUAUUAUUAUUAUUAUUAUUAUUAUUAUUAUUAUUAUUAUUAUUAUUAUUAUUAUUAUUAUCAUCAUCAUCAUCAUCUUAAUCUCCGAAGGUCAUGACCACAUUUUACUGCAUCACCAAAAUACAUUAUCAUUCUCUUUUUCGUGAAAUCACGAACAAUUUUUGAAAAUCAUGAAAAAAUGUAAAUUGUGAACAUAUCUGAAAUCAUGAACAUUUAUAAAAUUUUGAACAUUUUUACAGCUUUGGGACAAUUUCUAAAAUCAUGAACAUUUUUUCAAUGCAUGAAAAUUUAAUACUAUUUGCAAAAAAUUGAACAUUUUUACAAAGAUUUUUUUUGAAUAGGCGAACAUUUCUAGAAUCGACGAACAUUGUUUUGAAAAUUGGUGAAACAAUUUCUAAAAUUAAUAUACCUUUUUUAUUUAACGAACCUUUUCUAAAAUGUGUGAUCAUUUUUUCAAUCAGCAAAACAUUUUAUGAAUCAAUAAACUAUUUUAUAAGCAUGAACAGUUUUUGAAUUUUUAGGAUGUUUUUUCAAUUCGUGAACAUUUUUUGAAUUGGUGAAAUUUUGUUAAGUUUUAUUAAAAAAUUUAAUACAUGAAUUUGUUUUUAAAAUUAUGAUAUUUUUAUUCAGAAAAUAUUUGUUUUCAAAAUCCAAACAUUUUUUGAAUUCACAAAUAUUUAUGAAUAAAUCAAAAUAUUACAAAAUUCGCAUUUUAGAAAAAUUCGGAACUUUUUGAAGUCCCAUGUAUUUAAAGUAGAGAAAAAGGAAGACAGAAAAGAAAAAAACGAAAAAUAAAAACAAAAUUUAAAAAACUAACUGCCCGGACAUGGGCCAGCCCAAACAGACACGUUGUAGUCUUCUCCCAGCGCGCAUAGAAGGUUCGUACUACAUGGGCCCGCCCAGGGGGGGGGGUUCUGUGUGAAUUUUUUUUUCAUUUAUAGAUGGCCUCGGUGGAUAGUAUUUUGUAAUUUUAGGGGCAAUUUCGGUGACAUGCCCCCACAAGCAACAGCCCCUUUAUUAUGAGGUAUAGAUUUUCUUUUCAUUCAUAUUGUGAUCUGAUUUUUGACAAAGACCUCCAUAAUAUUUAAAUUCAAUUUCAUCAUAAUUAUGAUUUGAAUUUUAGAAAAAUUGUAUAUUAUUUGAAUUUUAGAAAAUGAGUCCUAUGUCACGCCUUUCCUCUCUCGCUUCUCCCAGCGGUGUUCCGGCGGAGCGAUACAACAAGUAUGUAUGAGCACCCGGCGGUUGCUAUCCUGGUGCGCUGGUCCUAUGGGAUCUUAGCACGAUGACUUUCCGACUGUCUACUACAACAAGAUUUGUCCGGCUUCGAUGACGGCGGCGCGGCUUCGACUCGCUCCAAUGCUUGUAGCCUUCGCUAGGUUGUCUACGGAUCUGGAUGUAACUUUUUACUUUCGAUGUUCUUCGCAUUACCUUGACAAUUGAUGAAUAAAUUGAAUAUUUUCCUUGCAAAAUAAUAAUAAAAUGACAGGUAAAUCAGUAAAUCACAGUGAUUGCGUACAAAAUCAAUAAAUCUUUAACACACCGAUGUACAAGUGAUGGGCACGCGGUCGCGGGCUAACGUACUAGAAUAUUUAUGCAUUCUGCAACGCACCGGCACUUUUCUAUUUUUUUAGUUUAAAAAGUAUUUAAAUGUUCUGGAAAAAAAUCACGUGUAUAUGCAUUGGUAAGAAACUUACACGUGUAAAUAUUAAUGAAAUACUAUAACAGUUUGAGAUCCUGAUGAAAAUGAGGAAAUGAUGAUGACAAAAUUUUGGUUUUUUCUUUCCAUGAAGGUCGGUAAAAUGGACACAUGACUUUUCGAGAAUUUGCGUUUCUGAUUACACCAAGUUGUCUAGCACACGGGAAUGAAGGAGAAGCUACCCCACGACAACAGUCGGGAUUCUUCGUCNNNNNNNNNNNNNNNNNNNNNNNNNNNNNNNNNNNNNNNNNNNNNNNNNNNNNNNNNNNNNNNNNNNNNNNNNNNNNNNNNNNNNNNNNNNNNNNNNNNNNNNNNNNNNNNNNNNNNNNNNNNNNNNNNNNNNNNNNNNNNNNNNNNNNNNNNNNNNNNNNNNNNNNNNNNNNNNNNNNNNNNNNNNNNNNNNNNNNNNNNNNNNNNNNNNNNNNNNNNNNNNNNNNNNNNNNNNNNNNNNNNNNNNNNNNNNNNNNNNNNGACUCUCCCUCACUGAUUUCUCUCUGACAUUGCGACCGUCGGUGAUGGUAGCUCCUCCUUUCAUUCCUGAGUGCAUUACAUCAAAUGUCUAGCACACGGGAAUGAAGGAGAAGCUACCCCAUGACAAUAGUUGGGAUUCUUCGUCCUCUCAUAUAUGGUGGAGACUCGACAGACUUAAAGUCAACCCAAAAUAUCGUUUAAUUAUCUUUCUAAAAAAGGACAUAUCGUCCUCUCAUAUAUAGGACUCAUAUUGUCAUGGAGAUUUGGUUGGUCUCACCUCGAGGUCGGAGGGGGGUCGGUGACGGGGACGAUGGCGGGGAUGAUGGAGGGGUUCCUAGAUUUCUGCAAAAACAUAAACCUUAUAAGCUGUCAACUAAUCAAAUGCAUACGCCUUGCAUAGUGCUCUGCAAUUUUAGCAUUCAAAGUAGGAGUAUUUUUCCAAUUUGAGCAUUCAAUAAGCAAAACCAAAUCGUAAAAUAAAGUUAUAUUCAAAUUAGCAUGCAUUCAAUUAUAAGCAAAACUACAUCAUCUCUUCUGUCCGUACAUCGUCGAAUAUUAUCACUAAUACACCUCGAAUACUAUCAUACAUAUAGCAUCGCUAAUACAGAUAGAACCGUAGAGCCGGACGGGUAUCGGCGCGGACGGUAGACACCCAAAGAGAAGGAACCAUCACAGGAUCAUAGCUCCAGUGAGAUCCCUGAAGAACAUGUCAGGUAUUGUCGGACAUGCCCUCCAACGUAACCAUGUAGCGACGGGCGUGCUCGUCCUCCUCGCUGACACAGUGACGUACCACCUCCGCGAUGUCCGUAAGCCUCGGCACCGUCACUGGCCCAUGCGACCGCCACCAAACAAGGGUCGGGUUAACGACGGGUUGGCUCCUCACCAACCUACGCCCCCCGGAAGGUAGCACCUCCCAAUACCAGCCCGGCGGAGCCCAGUCCCGGACAUGGCCCCUCUGAUCAAGCUGGCCUCCUCCGCCGAGUCGAUGACGAGGAUGCGGGAUAAGCAUCGUCGACGCCGAUGCGGGAAUAAUUGCUUAAACUAAAAAAUAAACUAGUUCUAUUAAUUUUCUUGCUAAAAAUAAACUACUUAUAUAUAUAGUAAAAUAAAGUAGUUUUCUUAAAUCAACUAGUUCAACUACUACUAAGCACUUAAUUACUAUAAAUAAAAUAAAAUAGUACUUACUAAAAAUAAACUACUUCUAUAUAUAGUAAAAUAAAGUAGUUUUAUUAAAUCAACUAGUUCAACUACUAAGCACUUACUAAAUAAAAUAAAGUAGUACUUACUAAAAAUAAACUAAUUCUAUAUAUAGUAAAAUAAAGUAGUUUUAUUAAAUCAACUAGUUCGACUACUAAUUAAGCACUUACUAUAAAUAAAGUAGUUUUAUUAAAUCAACUAGUUCAACUACUAAUUAAGCACUUACUAUAAAUAAACUAGUUUAUUGGGGAGGGGGUAUAUCGAGAACGAUAUACCCGAUAAAAAAUAAGAAGAGGAAGAAGAAGAAGAAAAAGAGGAGAAGAAGAAUGUUCAUAGCAAAUAAUACACAUUAUAUGAAAAAGAAACACUGAACAGAGCCGUGGCGGCGGCUCACAUCGGGGGCGGCCGGCGAGGGGGUAUAUCAACUACUAAUUAAGCACUUACUACUAAUUAAGCACUUACUUCUUUUUUCUUCUUCUUUUUUCCUCUUUUUAUUUAUUUCUCCUCUUUUUUUCCACUUCUUCCUCUCUUCUUCCUCUCUUCUUCUUCUUCUUCUCCUUCUUCUUCUCCUUCUUCCUCUCCUUUUUCUUCUUCUUCUUCAUCUUUUCUUCCUUUUCCUUAUUUUACUUUUUCCUCUACACUAACCUAAAAUGCACCAACCUAAAAUCGAUAUCUACUAACGACCUAAAUAAAAAAUUAAUACUUAUAUGAAAAAACAUAUAUAAAUAAAAAAAUGCUAUGAACAUUAUAUUCAUACAUACAUAGCCACAUCCAUUCAUCAUAUAGCUACCACAUACAUAUAUACAUUAUAUAAAAAAUGAAAUGAACAAAAAAAUAAUACACAUUAUAUGAAAAAAAAUUGAACAGAGUCGUAGCGGCGGCUCCUCACAUCGGGGGCAGCCGGCGAGGGCGACGGCAUGGGCGGCGGAGGGCGACGGCGAUGGCGGCGGGGGGCGGAGGGCAACGGCGACGGUGACGGGCGACGGCUCGGGGGCGGCAGAGGGCGACGGCGUNNNNNNNNNNNNNNNNNNNNNNNNNNNNNNNNNNNNNNNNNNNNNNNNNNNNNNNNNNNNNNNNNNNNNNNNNNNNNNNNNNNNNNNNNNNNNNNNNNNNNNNNNNNNNNNNNNNNNNNNNNNNNNNNNNNNNNNNNNNNNNNNNNNNNNNNNNNNNNNNNNNNNNNNNNNNNNNNNNNNNNNNNNNNNNNNNNNNNNNNNNNNNNNNNNNNNNNNNNNNNNNNNNNNNNNNNNNNNNNNNNNNNNNNNNNNNNNNNNNNNNNNNNNNNNNNNNNNNNNNNNNNNNNNNNNNNNNNNNNNNNNNNNNNNNNNNNNNNNNNNNGCGACGGCAACGGCGACGACGGCGGGGCAGCCUGGCGGCGUCGAUGAGCUCGUCGUCGUCGGGCGGGGGGCAACUGGCGAUGAAUUUGUGAAAAAUUCCUAAGUGCUACUUAUAUAGCCAGAGUAUUGGUCCCGGUUCGUAGCACGAACCGGGACCAACGCCACCUUUAGUCUCGAUUGGUGCCACCAACCGGGACCAAAAAUCUCUUUUAAGCAGCCCAAAGGGCGGGAAGCAGAGGCCUUUGGUCCCGUUUGAUGGCACCAACCGGUACUAAAGGGGGGAAUUGGUUCCGGUUGGUGCCCCGAACCGGGACCAAAGGUGUGCAUUGGUCCCGGUUCGUGGCACCAACCGGGACCAAUGUCCUGCGCCUGUCAAAGCCGCGAUGCGGUGGGAUGUUUAGUCCCACCUCACUAGCCGAGGAGCGACAGGACCGGUUUAUAAGUCCUGCCCCGCCACCUCCAUUGAAUUCUUCUGAACUGCAGGCUUCUGGGCCUAAUCUCGCAUUGUUAUGCAUGUGGGCCUGCUGGGCCUUCUGCGGGCCUGAAUCCUGGCCCAUGGAUUGGUUUCUAGUCGUAUUCAAGCCGUGGUGACCUAGUAGGUGGCAUUUUUUAUUUUUUCUCAGUUUUUUUCUUUUCUUUUUUGCUUUAUUUAUUUUCUUUUGUUUCUACUUACAACAAAAUACUUACUGUUGCUAUUUUAUUUAUUUCAGGAAAAUUUGUUUUGCUUAUAAUGUUUUGAACAGAAAAUAGUUCGGUAAUUUUAGGUCCAUAAAUUUUAUUUAUGUUAUUAAAGUUUAUUUUUAUUUUAUUUUGUUUCUACUUAUAUAUUUUACUAAAGUUUAUUUAUUUUAUUUGUUUCUACAUACAUCAUCAAUUUUCAAUCCUUGCUGACUUCAUUUGUUAUUUUUCAUGCAUUUACUGAUUAUUUUGAGCUAUAAGACCCUGAAAUUGAAAAGCAUUUCAAAUGAACUCUGAAAAGGUUGAAAGUUGGCAUGGUAACAUCAUUUCAUCCACAUAGCAUGUGCAAGAAAGUUGAGAGGGUUACGGCAAAAACUGGAUGCACUUCGUGUACAAAACGGACAAUCUCUUUCGAAGUAUCAGGAUUUCAUACGGAAACUCGUCUGUUACAAAGGGAUUUCAUUUUUUUUAAACUUAUUUGAACUCCUAACUUUUUGUGUGUUCAAAAUGCACCAUUCAAAGCCACAUCGUCAAUUUUCAACCCCUUUCUAACUUCAUUUGUUAUUUUUCAUGCAUUUACUGAUUAUUUUGAGCUAUAAGACCCUAAAAUUGAAAAGUUUCAAAUGAACUCUGAAAAGGUUGAAAGUUGGCACUGUAUCAUCAUUUCAUCUACAUAGCAUGUGCAAGAAAGUUGAGAGGGUUCCGACAAAAACUGGAUGCACUUCGUGUACAAAACGGACAAUCUCUUUCGAAGUAUCAGGAUUUCAUACGGAAAAUCGUCUGUUACAAAGGGAUUUCAUUUUUUUAAACUUAUUUGAACUCCUGACUUUUUCUGUGUUCAAAAUGCAACAUUCAAAGCCACAUCAUCAAUUUUCAUCCCUUUCUGACUUCAUUUGUUAUUUUUCAUGCAUUAUUGAUUAUUUUGAGCUAUAAGACCCUGAAAUUGAAAAUUUUCAAAUGAACUCUGAAAAAAAGUUGGCAUGGUAUCAUUAUUUCACCCACAUAGCAGGGUAUCAUCAUUUCAAAGAAACUCUAAAAAAUGGACAAUCUCUUUCGAAGUAUCAGGAUUUCAUACGGAAACUCGUCUGUUACAACAGGCAUUUCAAAUGAACUACGAAAAGGUUGAAAGUUGGCAUGGUAUCAUCAUAAUAGUUGUGAAGAGAAAGUCUUCACUUUUACUUCGCUUGUGUCCUUUGAUUAUUGUGUCGUAACCAUGGAUAAUCUUCAUCGUUUAUCAGGAUGCUUGGGUCAGCCUUGACUUUGAAGGGAGGAAUUUCAUGAAGCUUUUCAUAAUCUUCAGACAUGUCUGUCUUGCCCUCCACUCCCAGGAUGUCCCUUUUUCCUGAAAGAACUAUGUGGCGCUUUGGCUCAUCAUAUAAUGUAUUCGCUUCCUUAUCUUUUCUUUUUCUCGGUUUGGUAGACAUGUCCUUCACAUAGAUAACAUGUGCCACAUCAUUGGCUAGGACGAACGGUUCGUCAGUGUACCCAAGAUUGUUCAGAUCCACUGUUGUUAUUCCGUACUGUGGGUCUACCUGUACCCCGCCUCUUGACAGAUUGACCCAUUUGCACUUAAACAAAGGGACCUUAAAAUCAUGUCCGUAGUGAAGUUCCCAUAUGUCCACUAUGUAACCAUAAUAUGUGUCACUUCCCUUCUUGGUUGCUGUGUUUUGGUUGGUGCUCUUUUGAUCUUGUGCGAUCGUGUAAAAUGUAUUCCCAUUUAUCUCGUAUCCUUUAUAAGUCAAUACAGUCGAAGAUGGUCCCCUGAACAACGAGUACAGCUCAUCAUAAACAAUGUUUUCACCUCUGAGACGUGUUUCCAACCAACUGCUAAAAGUCCUGAUGUGUUCACAUGUAAUCCAGUCAUCGCACUGCUCCGGGUGUUUGGAGCGCAGACUAUUCUUGUGUUCAUUGACAUACGGGGUCACGAAGGUAGAGUUAUGUAGAACUGUGUAGUGUGCUUGAGACCAAGAAUGCCCAUCCCUACAUAUUAUUGAGUCCCCUCCAAGCGUGUAUUUUCCAGUCAGUCUCCCCUCAUACCGCGAUUUAGGGAGACCUAUCUUCUUAAGGCCAGGAAUGAAGUCAACACAAAACCCAAUGACAUCCUCUGUUUGAUGUCCCAUGGAGAUGCUUCCUUCUGGGCCCAUGGAGAUGCUUCCUUCUGGCCUAGCACGGUUACGGACAUAUUUCUUUAGGACUCCCAUGAACCUCUCAAAGGGGUACAUAUUGUGUAGAAAUACAGGGCCCAGAAUGACAAUCUCGUCAACUAUAUGAACUAGGACGUGCGUCAUUAUAUUGAAGAAGGAUGGUGGGAACACCAGCUCGAAACUGACAAGACAUUUCGCCACAUCACUCCUUAGCCUUGGUAUGAUUUCUGGAUCGAUCACCUUCUGAGAGAUUGCAUUGAGGAAUGCACAUAGCUUCACAAUGGCUAAUCUGACGUUUUUCGGUAGAAGCCCCCCUCAAUGCAACCGGAAGCAGUUGCCUCAUAAUCACGUGGCAGUCAUGAGACUUUAGGUUCUGGAACUUUUUCUCUGGCAUAUUUAUUAUUCCCUUUAUAUUCGACGAGAAGUCAGUCGGGACCUUCAUACUAAGCAGGCAUUCAAAGAAGAUUUCCUUCUCUUCUUUGGUAAGAGCGUAGCUGGCAGGACCUUCAUACUGCUUUGGAGGCAUGCCGUCUUUUUCGUGCAAACUUUGCAGGUCCUCCCGUGCCUCAGUUGUAUCUUUUAUCUUCCCAUACACGCCCAAGAAGCCUAGCGGGUUCACACAAAGGUUCUUCGUCACGUGCAUCACGUCGAUCGAAGAGCGGACCUCUAGGUCUUUCCAGUAGGGUAGGUCCCAAAAUAUAGAUUUCUUCUUCCACAUGGGUGCACGUCCCUCAGCGUCAUUCGGAAAGAUUACGUGUAAAUCAUUGACCAUAGCAAGUACGUGAUCACCGGUACGCAUGGCGGGCUUCUUACGGUGAUCUGCCUCGCCUUUGAAAUGCUUGCCUUUCUUUCGACAUUGAUGUUUGGUCGGAAGAAAUCGACGACGGCCCAGGUACACAUUCUUCCUGCAUUUGUCCAGGUAUAUACUUUCGGUGUCAGCUAAACAAUGCGUGCAUGCGUGGUAUCGACGACGGCAUAGCAAGACGAUUAAAGCACUUUCGGACCUGCAUCUAGAGGAAUGCUCAAAUCGGUCAUUUUUGUGCAGCCAGGCCCGUGUGGUGCAACCCUAGGCAUGUGGGCGUGGCUGGUUGCACGUGUGGGUGCGGUCCCGAGACGUCGCCUUGUUUCCAAACGCGUCGUCAUAAUUACCCUCACCUCCCUUCCUCACCGCUCUCUCCCCUCUUCCCCACUCGCACCGAUGACUGCGACAACUUGAGCUCUAGUGCGAAGCAAUCCCAGACGGUGACGGCAACCACCAGAGCGCAUCGGCCAUGGCGGUAAGGCCUCGUCCUCUCUGUACAUUCAGUCAUUUUGACUCGGGCUAGAUUGGAUUAGAGCACUCGAUUGAAGAGUUAGGGAGGGGAUUGAACACGUCGAGGGUGCAGGAUUGCCAUCAAUCGAUUCUGCAUCGACGGUUACUAGGGUUCGUAGGUUAUCUUUCGACUACAUCGGGAGUGGGGAUAAGGGUACAAACUUUUUUGUCUAGCCGCGGCGACCCUGGAGUCGCAUCGAGCGGCGGGGCCGGGGGGCGUAGCCAUCUUGUUUUCUUCCUCCCUGUCUUCGUCAAGAAGGAUUGGUCUUGCACGGUCGCCUAUAGCCGGUGCCCUGGACAGCAUCUACACCUCGUCGUUGUCGGCCUCCAGCGACCCGAACGUGCUACUCCAGUACGCUGCCGCACGCUGGUCUUGAGGUGCCUUAUACUGACUGUACUUGGCCCAUCUUGCCCGUUGUCCAGCGUCGCCGGAGUCUGCCUGAUUCAUGGCCCAGCGCAGGAUGUCCACUGACAUCUUUCCCUUGGCUGGGUCUGGAACCAGUGUCUUCAGCUCCUCCGGCGUAGCGUUCUUCAUCACAGCAUCGGCCUCCUUGUGCAUGGCAUCGAUGAUGUUGAAGUUUGAGCACACUUCCAUGGUGUGCUCGAACUUCUUGUUGUCACCGAGAGAGCACCCAAGGAAGAAGGCCCUCCAUCCAAUGCCCAAGGGAAAGGGUUGGGGUUGGAGUUCAUGUCGAGGGGGAGGUGGUGAAACAGAGGGGGUUUGAGUGCGGUGCUAGGUUAACAUAUAGGAGCGUUUAGGCCGAUAUGAAUGAAUGCUGACCAUUGAACUACGUGUUGUUUAUAAUGUAGAUGGACAAGGGCAAGGAGGUGGUGCCACCAUUCGAGAAGGGCAAGGAGGUUGUGCCUCCAUUGGUCGAAGUGCCAGUGUAGGAUCGCCCAAGCCCGAAGUGGAGGAACUAUGGCCAGUACCAUCAAGAGUCAGGACCCAACCACUUCUCUAAGGUUAUCCUUGCUCCAAAGCUGGAGAGUCUAUCAUUGCCUCUCGACUUCAUGAAGCACUUUCCCGCCAUCCCUACAGAGUUCAAGCUCAAGACGAACACCGGCUGCGCAUGGAGGGUGACGGUGAGGUGAUCAACGGCAAGGUCACCCUUGAUAAUCAGGGUUGGGCCACCUUCACCGCCGUUCAUCAGAUCAUGAUCGGGUACACGCUGACGUUCAAGCUGCUGUCCCCCGACACCAUGAAGGUGAUCGUCUUCAACGACGAGGAAGUGGAGGUGGUCACCAAGUGCAAGGAGCACGACAAUGCAUUUGCCGCGACUGCCUGAGCUCCUCUUGCCCAUUCCUUGUUGGUUCUUGCUUUAAGACUUGGGUUUCGUUAGAACUAAUUGUUCUAUAUUGGUUUAAAACUUGUUCUGUAUGGUUAAGACUUAUGUUUGUGCCUAAAAUCGUUGUGUUGCUACUAGUUUAGUUGUUAGUAGUUCAUGUGCGCCUUUGGUAACCUCACCACUUCGAGGAGGAGGUUACCACACAACUGUCUUGGAUGUAACCAAACACCCGGACUUGUGUUUCACCUCAAACAAGUCUGCAACCAAACAGCAGACCUUCCGUUUUAGCACAUGCAGGCUAGAGGGGAUGCAGGCAACCAAUCAACAUGCAGAUGUUAGCUUUUGACCUGCAUAUGCUCAGCCAGACACAACUGGGACAAGUAUGCAAUGUGGCAAAAAACGAUGCAGGUAACAAAACGCGUCCUUAGCUUUUGAGCUUUGUAAUCACAUAAGAAAAGGAAUGAGAAAAUAGAAAACGUUUCGACAGUUUCAGUAGCACAAAUCUCUCGCUCGCCCAUGUCCAUCUCUCUCUCUCUUGAGCUGCUCACUCUCUUAUCUAGCUAGUUUGACAACGACAAUUCGCAUCGGACCGGCGCGCCCUCUCCAUCAUUCUCAUCGGCAUGCCGCCUGAGACAGUGGAGGCACCAGGACUCGGCCACGCCACCGGCCGCUCCAGGCAGCCUUUGAGUACUGUAGCAGCAUAGCUACAAUGUUCUCUACACUACAAUAUUCGAAGGGAAUCAGCCUCAUGCCUCGGGCAGCCGCCCGGGCUGCUUGGGGCCUAUCUCCACCGCUGGAUGGAGAUGAUGCGAGUACUAGCGGCCAAGGACACCGUCAAGGUCGCUAUGGAGACGAUCAAGACUCUCCGGAUGGGGAGUGAGCACGUGUGUGAGGCCAAGGCACAGGUAUGCGGCCAGGAGUUUGAAGAUCUCCAAUUCAAGGACGGCGAGUCCGUUGAGGAUUCCGCGCUGUGUCUCACCUGCAUGGUAGCUGACCUGGAGUUGCUGGCGAUCCAGUGACGGAACAAAAAGCCAUCUAGAAGUUCCUCCGGGUGGUGUCGCACAAGUACCGGAAGAUGGCCAUGGCCAUCGAGUCACUCAUCGAUCUAAAAACGAUGACGAUCGAAGAACUGGCCGGGCGCUUCUCGGCAUGCAAGGACCACUACGACCUUGACGACGCCUCUCAGUCCGCCGGUCGCCUCCUUCUCACUGCAGAGGAAUGGGCAGCGCGCCAGUACCAAUGCAGGGGUGGCUCUUCCUCGGGCGAGAGGCGCAAACCAGCGACCGGAAACGGCGGCACAGCUGGAUCGUGUCUCUUCGAUGCUGAGAAAAAGGGCAAAUGUCAUUACAACGGGAGAAGUAGGCAUUGGAAGAAGGAUUGCCGAUCUAGGAUCAAAGAUGAAGAGCAGCAGGGCAAGAAGGAGCAAGCCAACCUCGUCUGCGGCGACAAGCAUGAUCAAGGACCGCGUAUGGCCAUGGUCACCGACGUGGUUACCACUGAGAUCACCACUACCCAAGCGGUCUUCCUCAACGAAGAGAAAGUUAUCCCCUUUCCCUCACCCGACGGCGUCUUGUUCUUUGAUACCGGCACGAGGAGCCAUAUGACCGGUGAAAGGGGCAUGUUUGCAACCCUAGAUGAGACUGUGCACGGCAUGGUUAUGUUUGGGGACGGGUCCACGUCGGCAAUCCGCGGGUGUGGCUCCAUAGUCUUUCGGAGCAGAAACAGUGAUCAGCGAGCUCUCACCCAUGUCUUUUUAAUUCCCAGUCUCAGGAGCAACAUCAUCUCUGUCGGGCUGUUGGAUGAGGCUGGGUGCGUCAUCAGAAUUGAAGAUGGGAUCAUGCAAAUUCAAGACCCAGGGCGGCACAUCCUAGCACGCAUCAAACACUCUGGCAUGUGCAUUAGGCAUAUGGUUAGGUUGUACUGAUGUGUUAACUGAAGUUGUUUACUAGGCUUAGGCUAAACUGAUUUUUUGUUCUGUUAAGACAAAAUAUGAGUUAGUGUACUGGAUAGUUUAAAAUUUCUUUGAUUUGUAGUUUUUGUGUUAACUGGAAUUGUUGACUAGGCUUAGGGUAAAUUGUUCAUUCUUUUGUGUUAUAUUAAGACAAAAUGUUAACUAGUGUACUGAAUAGUUGAAAUAUUCUUUGUUUUGUAGUUUUUAUGAUGACAUUUGGAAGGUUAGGAUCCAUUUUGAUGCUGGAGAAAAUUUGGAGAGGAAGCUCUGCAGUUCAGAUGCAACAUAUUUGAAUAUAGUUGCACUGAUGGAAACCCAAGGAUUUAGUGUAUAUGAUUUAUUGUAUCACACUCAGACUCCAGGCUUAGGGGAGCAAGGGUUGCAAUUGGUAGAGAAUAAUGCUCAAUUGCAAAUGAUAAAGAGGCAGAAUAAGGAGAGUAUGAUGCUUAAUUUGUAGUUAGGGCAUGUCCACCCUCUGUUAGUGAAUUUCAGAGGCAAGAAUUGUUUCCAAUUGUGUAUCAAGGCCUAUUGUAUAUGAUCUGAGUGAGACUCCUAUCCUAGUUAUUGAUCAGCAAGGAGUUGUCUUUGAAAGUCAGUGUAGCAGCUCCAGUGCAGCUCAUGGUCCUGCUGUUUGCACACAAGAAAGCAGGAAUGUUAAAGGCAAGUUGAAAGCUGUUUUUGAAGUAGUAGUAGAAGAUGGAUAUGAGGGAUAUGAGGGCAGUGGUGCUUCUGCCUCUGAUUCUACCAUUUAGGGUUUAGGGUGCCUCGGCGUUGAUAGAACCAAUGAUGCCUACAAGUUAGGGUUUAGGGUACCUCUGCGUCGAUGGAAAAAAUGAUGCCUACACCAAAACUAAGCUUAUAGGAUAGGGUGCCUCUUUCUUUGUUCAACUUUUACUUGAACUAUAAAAAAACCACAACAAAACCAAAGCAUCUACUAUAUCUGAUGUAAAGCAUGAUAGCUCACAAAUCAAAGAUCAACCAUUGCUCAACAUAUCUGAUCCAAAACAUAAUAGCUCACGAAUUCUAGUCUACAAAUCAUAGCACAAAAUACUUAGUGGAGUUCAACAUAUUAUAACAUACACAACCAUGGUUCACAAUCAUAGUGGAGUUCAAAUUAUAGCACAAAAAAAAUACUUAGUGGAGUUUGUGGUGGCCGAGGCAAGCAUGGAGGGCGUUCGUGGGCGGCCACUCCCGGACUUUGCGUCGCGCGAGUCAAUCGGGUCCAAGGCUACCAAGAGCACUUCCAGCAGCUCGUUGACCGGGUGGAGGAGCACAGGGCCGCCAAGUACGUUGAGACGGCCAUCUCGGGCUCGGAAGCCCUGUGUUGGCAAUGACAUCGUUCAUGUCCUUCAGCUUCGACACCGACUUCGGCUUUGGGCGCGCCGCGCUAGUGAUGUCCACGUCCAACGACGGUGCGAGACUCUGCGACGGCUUCGUGCAGAUCAUCGCGCGCCUAGGAGGCGACGACUGGCUCCUCACAAUGCACAUGUGGCCCAGGCUGGCCGCCACCCUCGACUCCGACGAGCGGCGCAUCUUCAAGCCUCUCAUCGCUGACUAUAUUAGCCUCAAUCAGUAUAGCCGGCUCUGAAUCUGAUCGCCCAUGUAUGCAUGUCGUUGUUGUCUCUAGCUUCCGAGCUUGAUUUAUUAUGUAUCUGGUCAUGAGGACUGGGGAGAGGAGUGGGUCGGCGAAGGGAUUGAUAGGGUUGCUACCACCAGAGAGGGAGGACUGGGGAGAGAAGUCCAUCGGGUGAGCGGAAGCGGAGGGGUGCGCCGGCUAGGGUUUUGGUUGGGUUCUUGUUUAGGUGCUACGGCGGCCAGGUGGGUGGAAGGAAGAUGUGGAGAGGAGGGGUGUGCAUGCGGUGCUUGAAGGGAGCAGCGGUAGGAGGUGGUGUAGUGGCGCGGGUUGGGUGACAUCAUCAGAAUUACGGCGGCACAGACGGGUGGGCAGCGGGGUGGAGCAACGGCGUGAGGUGGGAGAGAGAUGCGGGAUAUCGGUGGCGCAGUUUCGAGAGGGAAGCAGCGGUGGCGGUGGCUUGGUGAAAGCAGCGGCGGCGCGGUUUCGGGAGGGAAGCAGCGGUGGCGGCGGAGCGGUUUCGGGAGGGAANNNNNNNNNNNNNNNNNNNNNNNNNNNNNNNNNNNNNNNNNNNNNNNNNNNNNNNNNNNNNNNNNNNNNNNNNNNNNNNNNNNNNNNNNNNNNNNNNNNNNNNNNNNNNNNNNNNNNNNNNNNNNNNNNNNNNNNNNNNNNNNNNNNNNNNNNNNNNNNNNNNNNNNNNNNNNNNNNNNNNNNNNNNNNNNNNNNNNNNNNNNNNNNNNNNNNNNNNNNNNNNNNNNNNNNNNNNNNNNNNNNNNNNNNNNNNNNNNNNNNNNNNNNNNNNNNNNNNNNNNNNNNNNNNNNNNNNNNNNNNNNNNNNNNNNNNNNNNNNNNNNNNNNNNNNNNNNNNNNNNNNNNNNNNNNNNNNNNNNNNNNNNNNNNNNNNNNNNNNNNNNNNNNNNNNNNNNNNNNNNNNNNNNNNNNNNNNNNNNNNNNNNNNNNNNNNNNNNNNNNNNNNNNNNNNNNNNNNNNNGUGGCGACAGCACGGUUUCGGGACUGAAGCAGCAAUGGCGGCGGCUUGGUGAAAGCGGCGGCGGCACGGUUUCCAAAGGGAAUCAGCGAUGGCGGCGGCUUGGUGAAAACGGCGGCGGCACGGUUUCGAGAGGGAAGCAGCGGUGGCGGCGGCUUGGUGAAAGCGGCGGCGGCGCUAGGGUUAGAUCAAAGUUAGACUGAUACCAUCUAGAUAGAUGAUAGGACGCAAUUCAUGUAUACUCACGGGCAUCCAGUGCCAAUAUAUAGAUGUAUAUUUCACGCAAAAGAAAUAUAGAUGUAUAUAAAGACGUCACGUCCAAGACUAAAACACUGACAUGCUAGAAAUUAGAUGGACAGGUAUUAGAGUACAAGUCUAUAUACAUGUCUGGUGCUCAACAUUAGUGAUGAUAAAGUCAGUUGUGCUCCACUAAGAUUGUAGAGCUCAUCGGAAAUGAACCUUCACCUCAAAAUCUCUGAAGCAUGUACCCUGUUAUUUGAAGAAAAACAGUACGUACCCUGUACUUGUGAUCCCGGGUUUAUCUCGACCCUGAACCUGUCCGGCGCGGGAAAAAACUAUCCAAUACAAAACUCAUGAACUGAUUAUUUCUCAUUUUUUAGUACUCCCUCUUACUACUUUAUAUAAUGAUAUAAACGAUCUUAUAUUUCUUUACGAAAGAAGUACUACACUGUACUGUAUGUACACUGAACAACACCUCGAUGGGUUUCUCCAUGGACAAAGACCUGCGACUUGCCUCGUCCCUGGUGCAGUCGUCCCCGUGGAUGUGACGACGGUAAUCUGCAGCGCCGACGACAAUACAUGAACGCAUGUCGUUGCCCGCUGAAUGAGCGUGAGGGCUUGGCGUCGACAGAGAGGACACCAAACUGGUCCGAGGCUGUGGUGAGCACCGACGGCGGCGACUCCGAGGGGCCGUUGCCGUCGUCGUCGUCGGACAGGUUGACGGUGGUGAUGCCAUGGAUGCUGCACGGCCCUUGUUGUCCUUUCCGCUGGAGGUGAGCCAAACGAUCUCGUACCACUCCCACCAUAGGCGCCCAAACGGUUUGCAAAUUAACCAACAGAAGAAGGAUCGGAUCAACGUUGAGUGCACAAUGCUGGAACAAACUCAAUGCUGACUGGCGCAUCGUGUUUUAGGGCAGGACUAUUUGGACUAAACAUCACGGGCGCUCCUUCUCAGCAAAUUCGCUCAUUUUCUCUUAGGGGUCAACCUUUUUCUUUUUUGAGAAAAUCUUACGGAUAAACUAAGCUUUUUUUUUUGGCGGCGAGGGAUUAACUUUUUUUUUUUUGAGAAACGGUGGAGGGAUCAACUAAGCUAGUGGGCCGCCCAGGGUGCGCUUAGCUGUUGGUGGGCCGGAACCGCUCGAUUCACCGUCUCUUAUUUAAAGAAUAGUCCCCUAAAAAAUAGUACUAAGAGUCAAAAACCAAAUUUAGUACCACAUGGCUCGUUUCUAAAUCUGUUCCGCAGCUUUAAAUAGGCUGCUGGAGGGGACCUCCUAUUGCGUGCCUUCAGCGCCGCGCAACCUAACUGGCGCUUGCAACAACGUCUGGGUGGGCCAGCCCACAACCUAACUGGCGCUUGCAAAAAUAUCAAUAUAUUUGGCAAACUCAAAAAGAGUUUAUGAGUUUAAAAAAAGUUCAUUGAUUACAAGAAGGUUCAUUAAAUAUGAAAAAAGUUCAUCAAAUUUGAAAAAAGUUCAUUAAUUGGAAACAAGUUCAUCGGACUUGAAAAAAGUUCAUCGAAUUUGAAAAAAGUUCAUCGAAUUAAAACAAGUUCACGAUUUUCGAAAACAGUUCAACAAAAAAUGAAAAAAAUUCAUCGAUUUGAAGAAAAAACUUCAGGAAUUUGAAGAAAAAGUCAUCAUAUAAAGAAGAAGGGAAACAGAACACGAAAAAUGGACAAAAGGGAAAUAGGAACAAACAAAAUAAGAUUUCUUUGAGGGAGCAAAACAAAUAAUUGAAAGGAUAGAAACUACCAAAUCUGUCUAACUGGUGUAGUGGUUAGCGCAUUAUUCCCGACAAUUUUUUUGCGCCUUAGAAAGCGAAGUUGGGCCGGCCCAGCGCGGACACCUGCAGGCGCCAGUUUGCAAAAUGCACACAAACUGGCGCCUGCGGCGCUAAAUAGGAAUCGCCCUGCUGGAGGGCUACGCAUCGCCGACAACGUGGUCAUGAGCCAGUUAGCGCUGGCUGAUCGACUCUGCCUUGUCAAACGCGUUCACGUAAAAUAACAUCAGAUUCAGAUUCUACACAUUUAAAUCAAUUUCCAUAUAUGCAAUGUCAAAAUUGGAGUUAUGGUUUAUAAGAUAUGAAUAUUUUUAAAAAGCAUUCGAACCUGUCAAAAAAAAAGAUGGAUGGCGGGUUGAUUAACUAAAAGAUCAGGGGGUUUUCCUAAAAAACGUGAAUCAUCUUUUCCACUUAAUUUAGGACCAUGGGUUCAUUAACUAAAAGACCAGGGUUUUUUCAAGAAAACCAACUGUUUUUUCACUUAAAAUAGGAUUACGGGUUGAAUUAUCAAAAAGAGAUAGACUUUCUGCAAAAAUGACGACGGCGUACGACCAGAAAUGAUAGCCGUUUUAUUACUAGGUAAAGAUUAUUAUUUUUCAUUCAUAUUGUGAUCUGAUUUUUGACAAAGACCUCCAUAAUAUUUAAAUUCAAUUUUUCUUCAUAAUCAUGAUUUGAAUUUUAGAAAAACUGCAUAUUAUUUGAAUUUUAGAAAAUGAGACCUCUUUCGUGUCUUUUCUCUCUCGCUUCUCCCCGCGGUGUUCCGGCGGAGCGACACAACAAGAAUGGACGAGCAUUCGGCGGUUGUUGUCCUGGUGCGCUGGUCCUAUGGGGUCUUAGCAUGAUGACUUUCCAACUGUCUACUACAACAAGAUUUAUCCGGCUCCGACGAGGGAGGAGCGAUGACGGCGGCGCGCCUUCGACUCGCUCCAGUGCUUGUAGUCAUCGAUAGGUGGUCUACGAACCUUGCUAAUAAGCUGAUAGAACAAAACCUUUGGUUUAUCUCUAACUCUCGUCCAAACAACUAAGGAAGCAAACUUAAUUACGUGCUUUAUUUUAGCAGAUAAUCAUUACAGAAUAAAUAACAAAAAUAAGUAAAGAUAAUUUCUUUGGUGGCCCCCGUCCGCUAUCUCUCAAGGAAAGUAAUAUCCACCGAAACCUUCUGACGUGCACGUCUAGCUACUGUGGCCUUGGACGUGAGAAGUACUCGUAGUAGACUAGGAUUCUGUGAUAAGUAUCAAGAAAAGAAAUCUCCUGUAUUUGUACAUCUACAAGUUGAACUUAUUCUAGACGUAUCAACCAAAGAAAGAUUGAUCAUGCUCGUGUUUGUGAGGGACUUUGAUUGUACUAUAUUAAUAAAAAGAUUGAUCAACACUUUAGUGCAUGAACCCUUCCUUCCAUGCACACAUAUGUACCUCUUCUCUCCUAAUGCAUGCAUGCUCAGCCUCUUAUUUUUCUCUUUCUUAUGCAAGUGCAUCUCUAUCAAUGCCAUAUAAUGGAUGCAUGCAACUUCAGCUAAAUUUGCAAUGUUUUCAUCGUACUUCUCAUCAACGCCAAUAUACUUUCGCACAUAUUCAUCAUCAGACUGUUUUGGUAUAACAGAAGCAUCACUGACGACUUGAACAAGUACCGGAUUAUUGAUGCCAAGUAUUGACUUGGUCAUAUCAGAUGAUCAAGAGGAUAUUCAUGAGUACCAUCUUUCUUACACUAUUUGGUUACCUCCCGGAAAUGAAUAUGCCAUAUGACAAGGCCAUGAACAUUAGCAAUGGUUUUAUCGGCAUCGUCAUCCUCUUCACGCUCAUUGGCGGCUACCUCUCAGACAUGCAUCAUGAUCAAUUGAUCAUCACCCCCAUGGACAGCGUGGUAAUAACUACCUUAAGAUGUUGUUCACAUUUCCAUAAAUGAAACGAACUAAAACAAUGCAUUGUAGUGAGACUUCGAUUUGUGUUUUUUUGUGUGUGUGUGUGNNNNNNNNNNNNNNNNNNNNNNNNNNNNNNNNNNNNNNNNNNNNNNNNNNNNNNNNNNNNNNNNNNNNNNNNNNNNNNNNNNNNNNNNNNNNNNNNNNNNNNNNNNNNNNNNNNNNNNNNNNNNNNNNNNNNNNNNNNNNNNNNNNNNNNNNNNNNNNNNNNNNNNNNNNNNNNNNNNNNNNNNNUAGCUCUCCCUACGAGUGAAUUGGUUUGUACUCUUCGGUAUCAUGUGAACCUCUCAACGAUCACUCUCCUCUUGUUAUUCAUGAUACCUUUCUUGCCAUUGCCUACCAAGGACAUUACUUUAUACACUCGUAGCAUUGGACAAUAAGGACAAAUAUGCGGCAUGUGUGUUGGUCAUAGAAAACUCCUACUAUGGAAUAGUCAUUUCCACGUGAAAUCCAUGAAAUGCAUAAAAAAAAGUUGGACAAAUCUUUACUCCUAGAAAAUGAUUUUUAUUACUACUUUGGAUAGAUAAAAUAAACAGAUGACCCUGAGAAACUAGUGAACCGAGUGAUAAAGCUGAGAGGCUUAAAAUCUAGUUGCGUCCUUACCCAAUGUUGCUUAUGUGACCUUUCUGAUUUUUUAUAAAAAUGUGAAACAACUCAUGUAUAUAGGUUGGUACAUAUAUUUUGUGCACUUGCAAAUCUCUCAUCUAAAGAUAUAAUCAUUUAUGUCCCUCACAAGAAAAAACAAGUGAUAUGUAAAUAAAAGAGGAUUUAACUCAUAUAUUUUUAUGUUUUUGGUCAUGGCACAAAUGGUUAUACUUUUAGAUAACAUGUCAUAGGUGCACAUGUGAUACAACUAUUUUGCAUCAAGAUUUGAGAAGGUGAACGGGUGAACUCUGGUCAUCAUUUCAGCCUCUUUUAGCAUAUUUUAUCAAGAACUUCUAUUUUGUUGUAGAGUUGCAUGUGACGUUACAGCGAAGUGCCGAAGAUCUAGCAUUUUUAUAUGUUUUCUAAAAAUAUGAGAGAAACAAGUUGAAAGUUUUACAACAUUCGUGCUGGAAGAGAAGCGUGUGUGCAUUCCCAUGAUAUAAUUUUCAUUUUAUGAAUGUAGACUACGCAACGAGAAAUGAACGGGUUUGUUUUUCAAAUAUUACAACAUCCAAAGACACAACAUUCUUUUUAAGACCAAAUAACACCAUUUUUAUUGUUGCAUCAAGCUGGUUCACACAGUAUGAGCGAAGGCAAUGGUGAAACAAAGCAAGUUCUACCAAGAGAAACACAAUGCACCAUACUCGCCAAGAUUAGUUGGUCCAUCUGCUAGAGGGAAUAUAAGAAGAUCAUGAGGGAUGACAUAUAGCUAUCACUCAGCUCGCGGCCAUGGACCUAAGUAAAUCGUGUCUCGUGUCAAACUGAUCUCACCUAAGUUUAUUAACGGGACCCUUAUAUGGUCUAUUCACCCUUUAUGCGCAUAUAUGAUCAACGCAAAUUCGGCAUCGGUAGCCCCAGAUUAUGCCCACCAUGGAUGGAUUAGCUAAUCUCAUCGAAGCAACUUCGACAACGUCCCCUCCUCCAUCGGCUCUAAUAGUAAAACCCAACAUAUGACGGCAACCUAAGAGGGAGAAACCACCCUGAAUAUCUUAGCGUGGGGCGCACGGUCGAUAAUUGUUUCCACUUCUUUAAGCUUAGAAAUGUUUCACAAUUAAUUACCCACUUUUCAAUGGUUAGAAAUGUUUCAGGAGCAAUUAUCUUCAUAUUCUGUAAGUUGGUGUGCUGAUGUGGAGCAGAUAAAGAUUGCACACGGCUCUUUCAAAUCUCAUGUAAGUUCUUAUAAGAUAUUUAAUUCCAGUCGGGAAGACACACUUGCUGCCAUGGGCAAUUUCAUCUUUGUUACAUGUUUCCAAUUUAUCAACAAUGAACACAAUAAAAAAAAUCCAAUCCUCAACACCAAUCACUUCACACUCUGGUACUGACAGAACGAACUGAGCAGCGAACAUUUUGCUUCAGAACACAUUCAUAGCUCAUCAUGUAGUUGUUCUAAUCAUUUGUUUGCGCGCCGCUUCGGCCCGAGUAGGUUGGUCAUCAUCCUGAGCACACAAGAAAACAUAACCAGAGAUCAGCAUAAAGCCAUAAACACAAUCACCGUUGUUUUCACUGCUGGGAAGUAGAACCGAACACUGACCUCUGGAUCCGGUUCCGCGGCUUUCUGCAACAGCAGCAGCACCCCCCCAAAAUCCCAAACAACAAAUGGUUUAGUCAGUCAGUCAGUCGCUUCCCGGUUUCUCUUGAGUAAAUUUCAUAAGAGCGCGCACACUUGCCUUUCUUUCGGCCUCACUACGAUCUCGUCACGCACCACCGCAGCGCCUGCUAUCGAGGUCGAGGCUGUGGUCCUCGGGGGCUGCUCCCCUAUUCUAGGGACAGUCUUCACCUGAAUGAAAGAAAAGACGAUGUGGUCAUUUGAUCAGACCUGCUCUGAAUGUGUUUAAUUAUGUACUGAAGAUGCACCGCGGAUCGUGAACUCACCAGGUUCCUGUACUGAAGAUUGUAGAAUAUCUGCAGGUACCGCUGUUUGGCCGCUCUCUCCUCCUUGUUCAGAGUCCUCCAGAAGCCAUACAUCGAUCCCAUGUUCAGCACUUUAGUCGCGUAUAUCUUCCAUGUGUAACUGCCAUCAUGUGUAGCACACGGUUACAUUUUCACACCAGGUGGCAUAGGAAGGUUGGUGUUGACCACUCAAGAGGCAAGGUAAGGAUCGGCGCCUACCAUUCGUAGAUGCGCUGAAGUCCAGCAGUGGACACCUUGUUCCAGUAGCUUGGGUCUUCCUUGCACUUCUGGAAGAAGUCUGCAAUCUUGGUCCCUGCCCCCCUGCCGUUCGUCGGGUUUAUGUGGAAACCUGAGACGCCAUCGACAAUGAUCUCCGCUGGCCCUCCCUGGUUUGUCGCAAAGGUUGGAAGCCCGCAGUUCAUCGCCUCGAUGACUGUUAGCCCAAAUGCUUCGUAGAGUGCAGGCUGAAACCAGAGAUAUGCAUUAUGGUUCAGGCUUUUAUGUAAUGGUUGGUUACUGUGAAGCAUAGAUUUCAGAGGAUGGAGCCCUAUAUUGUUCAUGCCCGAACAGUUAGUAUUGCAUACCUGAACAAAUGCACCCUUUGUAUCUGCAAUGUAACGGUACAGCUCGCCGUUACGGACACGGUCAGUCUGAGCCUUGAUCCACCGGAUCUGUCCUUUCAGCUGGUACUUGUCGAUCAAAUUAUGCAUCUUGUUGAUCUCGUCUAUCUCUUCUCGGUCCUUGGACUGCGCAGCAUUCAGGAGGCCUGCAACGACGACGAGGUUCACAAGGUCCCUGACCUUCUUGUUCUGGCCAUACCACUCCACUAGUCCAGUGAUGUUCUUCACCUUGUCCAGCCUUGCCAUCGAGAAAAUGAUUGGCUUAUUUUUGUCUGCCAGAUACCCUCUGAAUUUGGUAGCAUUGCAACAAUUAGCAACUUUGUCUGAUCAAGCAAAAGUAUGUGUGUUCCUAAGGGACUUGACUUACAUGUGUUCGUCUGUAUCCUCCUUGCUGUACAGUAACUCCUCAAUUUGUGGGUGUAAACCUGUCAGCCGCUUCUGCUUCUGUGUGUAGGGGAAGUAGACGGACUGAUCGGCGCCAGGGGCAGCAAUGUUGAACUUCGGAUCAAAGACAUUGAUGCCCGUGGCGAAGCGGCAAAGCCCGGGCAUUGUGAAUGCAUAGUGGUGUUCAUAUUGACCAGGCUUCUCCUUGCUGCACAAUAUGUCAAUGUUAGAAGUUUCUAGGUGCAAGUACCCAAGCGCUGCCUGUUAGAGCACUGAAGUUACAGUAAUAUUCAGUCUACUGACCUCCCAGCAAUUUCUUGGUAUGUGCUAGUGAUGAUAAAAUCGGUAGUGUUCAUGGCAAUCAUAUCGGCAGUGAAUUGGCAGGAGAAAUGGUAUUUUUGGUCCAGCUCUCUCCACUUGGCAUCUGAGUUCUCAUACUUCGUCUUCUCGAGAGCAUGUGCAAUUGUUCCCUGUCAAAAAGACCACUUAGGGAUGCCAUGUCAACUGUGGUUGGUGGUAAAAGAGAUCUUGAGGAAUCCUCUUUGAUCAAACAUUUUCCUACCUGUGUGACACCUAGUUUGCUCGACAUGAGGGACGCCACUAAGUUGCCGUCGGUGUAGUUGCCAAUGAUCAAGUCUGGUUUGCCCUCUAGAAUGUCAAGGAUCUUGGCAGAAGCAUCCUGAAAUCAUGUCAGGAUAAAGCUUUAUUAAAGAUCACUGACACAAGAGUGAAGAUAAUUAAUAAUUUGCAGCUGGCAAACCUGAGUAUAUCUCUCUAGGUACGGGUAAAUGUCAAACCGAGACACCCACUGGCGCAAAUCUUUCCCGUCUUCAGUCUUGAAUGGCACACGGAGUAUGUGUGAAUAUUUUGUAUUUUCAACCGGUUCGAGCUCCACAUUGCAUUUUGUGCCUUUGGAAUCUGGUAUCAGUCUUGUUAGCUGCGGCACAAUUGUAGCCAUUAGUUUAGCAGUUCUACAAAUUACACAGCAGGAAUGGCUAGGAUCAUGGCCUUACCACAAGAAUCUUUGGUGUUAUAUGCAAACCCUGCUGCUUGAUUCUUUGCACCAGCUCCUCUUCCAUGGACCUGACUUGGUCCAGGAUGUAGACAACCUGUCAUAGCAAAACCAUGCCUUCAGAAUGUGACACCCUGAUCAGAGUAUUAUGUCCUAUUAUCUGCUAAUAAUAUCCAUACCUGACCGCCGGUGUCUGGCAAUCCUAGAACCUUCUCUUGGCCAAAGUAACCAUGGAUGGAGAAGAUGACGAUGUUAAAUAUGGAUGGGACCCUGCUGAAGAACUUCUCCAUGUUGAUAGGAUCUGGUGCCUGGAGCACUUCAGAUAGGAAAUUCAGAGUCUCCUUGCACCUUUCUGCGUUCUCACCCCAUCCUUUCUCCAAUCCCCACUCCUGAAAUCUGCAAUACAAUUCAUGAAGAAACGUUAGGCAUAGUUGCAUAUUUCUGUACCAUCAAUUAUAUGUCUACUUAAUAUGGCAGCACAUCACCUCUGUUCAAAUUUCAAAUAUGGUGUGAAUUUAGGCAGCCCGCUGACAAAAACUUCUGCAAGGAGCAGCGCUGUCUGAAGCUUGUCGACCGUAUCGAUUGUGUCGUUGACCAUCAGUUUCUGCAUAUUCAUAAGGAUAUAUAAGUUUAAUCAGUCGAUUAGUUCUGAUCUUCUGAUAGUCUCUGUGAUAUGGAUGACUGAACUCUUUACCUCGCCGCGGUAAUUCAGGGUGAGCAAAUAGUCUAGCAAUGGCUUCAUGCUUUCAGGCUUCUCAUUCAGCUUUGAAGACAUGAAUUUGGAGAUAAACUGCAUCCCAUUCCCUAUGGACGAGGGCAGCGUCAGAUGAGGUGUUGAGAGGUCAAGAGCGCCAAAAUCAACUUCCAAUGAAUUGUCAUCCUUGGCCCUGAAAUUCACAUGAACAGACCAUAUUUUUCAGAUUCAUGAUUUUACUCAUCUAGCAUUAAAUUAGCUCUCUGAUCCAUGUCAAAGAUCACAUGAUAUUUGGUAAGAGUAAGACAUACCAUUUCUCAUCAUAUAAGGUCUCUUUGAACUUCAGGUACUCUGAUGGUGUAAUUCCUUCGACCGACAGAUCAUCGGAGUGAACUUUGACGUAUUCCCAGAUGCCAGGAUUCAUUCUAACAGCGAAUGCAACGAAUGGCGGUAGCACUACAGCUUCCUGCAAACAUAAAGGAUUCCAAAUCUGAUAAGCUCCUUCCAUCAAGCUUGAUUCUAGCUGCAGAAGGGAAUCAGGGAAUGUAAAGCAAAAUAACCUGUGUCGAACAAAUAAUGUAACCGAGAAAGCCUUCAACAAGCUUUUCCUUCUCAGCUUUGUCAUCUAGUGAUUUUUCCAGCUCCUCCACGAGCUGCUGGUUCUUCAAGAGCCUCCUGCCCUUCGAUACAUACCUGAAACAUUUUUUGUCCCAGAUUUCAGGAUGACAAAGCUGACCACAGCAGCAAUAUUUCUUGAUGCAAUGCAUGCCAUAAAGAACACAUUAACUUUUAGUACCUUUGGAAGCAUCUCUUCAUCUGGUACCGGCUUUGUUGCAGCGCAUCAGGCAUGGUUUCAGCGAUGCUGUCCAUUCUCUUGAAGCUGAGAUUGGAAGCCAUGGUGGGAGACUACCAGGCUUGAUAAACUGGGUGGAGAAGAUCAAAGAACUAUUUUUGGAGAAGCAAAACUACGAAGGAAUGUUGCUAAGAAGAUUGUGAUUGUCUGGGUGCUGAUGGACAACAAUUUAUAGGAGAGGGCACAAAACCUCCCUCCAUGGAGAAAGAUUUAUUUUCUCUGGACAUGGCUGGAAAUGCAAGGUAGAUGAUGCUAAGCUGAAAGGAGAAAGCACAACGCCUGGGAGAAGUUAUUCCAAAGAGACACACAAGGCAAGAAAGGCGGCAUUACAUCAUUACACUGUAAGAUUCCUCAUGACUUGUCACCAUUUCUUAUCCCUUUGCCAGCAGUUUUGACAUCCAAACGUGAGGCAUUAGGUAAACUUUUUGCCAUUGGACAUCCACACUAGGCCAAGAACUUUCAGAAGAUCACAAAAGGCAAUGAAAGCAUAUUCUCUCUUGGAGCUUGGGUUAAGCUUCCUUAAAAUUUCAGAAGAUGCACAGCAAAUUGCUUGCUACCUGAUAUGAAGCAAAAGACCAGGGAUCACCUUGUUGCAAUCUCAAUACCAGAAAGGAAACUCCAGAGCAUCAAAUGAAGAAAAAAAAAAGAUACAUUGAGCUGAGCUCUUUAUUUCAAAAACUCGAUAGCAUCAAAGAGAGAUAUACAAGCAAUUUUUUUUCAUUAAUCAGAACACAAACUUCAAGAGAUUGCAGCAUCCAUCUCCAUUCAAGGUAUUAAACAAAUUGAGAGUAUCCAAUUUCAGGAUAAUCAUGAAAUUUGCGCACAUAAGUUUGCCAAUUACAUAAAUAUACAUGUUUGAUAGAAAACAUUCUGACAUGAAAAGAAAAAAACAAAUCCAUGUACACAAGUGGCAAUACUUUACACUCAUCAAAAUCCAUCAAGCUCAAUGUUUACAAUUUACAAAUCGCCAGAACCAGGAAACGGAGAAGAAUCACACAUCGAGUAUUGGUGAAGGAGUUAAGCCAAGUUCAGUACUGAGGAAGGGGGGGAAAGACCAUCUGCUGUCUGAUUCACCAAAAAUACGGUACUCAUUCCUCAGGCCUCACAACAUCUCUUGGAGCAGUCGGGACGGGCGGACCGAAACAUGUCUACCAAACAGCUGCAAG
RNAcentral lists this long non-coding RNA (58734 nucleotides) under Triticum aestivum (bread wheat). RNAcentral describes it as "long non-coding RNA (TAES_LNC015550)". Lineage: Eukaryota; Viridiplantae; Streptophyta; Magnoliopsida; Poales; Poaceae. The record is from RNAcentral.